UUUACACAGCUCAUAGAACUGUUCUACUAUUACGUAUAAAUUUCCAGCCUUAUUUGUAGUUCUCCAUUCAUUCACCAAAACAAAACAAGUUUCUAUCAAAGUUCUUCAAAAUUGUUUUACUUUUCUCCUAGCCAUGUUUGAUUUUCUUUAACAUUAUUAACAACACACCAAAUCAUUUCUCUCUCUAGCUACCUAUGUCUCAAUCCAUGACUCUUCCAAUCCUUUUCCUUCUCUUCCUCGCCAUUCCAUUAUCCGAAUCUAAGCUCUCCAUCGACUACUACAAAAAAACAUGCCCUGACUUCGAAAGCAUUGUCCGUGACACUGUGACUUCAAAACAAAUCGCCAGUCCCACCACCGCGGCAGGCACUCUUCGUCUCUUCUUCCACGACUGCAUGGUCGAAGGCUGCGACGCUUCCAUCCUCAUCUCCUCCAACUACGUUAACACAGCAGAGCGUGAUGCCGACAUCAACCAAUCCCUCUCGGCAGACGCCUUUGACCUCGUGGCAAGAGCCAAGACCGCCCUCGAGCUAUCCUGCCCAGGCAUUGUUUCUUGCUCCGACAUCCUCACCUUAGCCACACGCAACCUGGUCACGAUGGUCGGCGGUCCGUUCUACAAAGUCCGAUUGGGACGGAAAGACGGACAGGUUUCCAAAGCUUCACUAGUGGAAGGAAAUCUCCCAAGAAGCAACCAAACCCUAGAUGACAUGAUCAAAUUCUUCGGUACAAAGAGCUUCACACUCCAAGAAAUGGUGGCUUUGUCCGGUGCACACACAAUUGGAUUCGCUCAUUGCAAAGAAUUCGCCGACCGGAUUUUCAAUUACAACAAAACUACACCAACAGAUCCUGACAUGUACCCAAACUAUGCUCAAGGGCUGAAGAAAAUUUGUGCAGACUACAAAACGAACAUUGCCAUGUCUGCCUUCAACGAUGUGAUCACACCCGGCAAGUUCGAUAACAUGUAUUAUCAGAAUCUGAAGAGGGGUUUGGGGUUGUUGGCAUCGGACCAUGUACUUGUUAAGGACCCGAGGACGAGGCCUUUUGUGGAGUUGUACUCGACGGACCAGGGUGCUUUUUUCAAGGCUUUUGCUCAUGCUAUGGAGAAGCUUAGCCAUCAUGGAGUUAAGACUGGACGUAAAGGAGAGGUCAGGCACAGGUGUGAUGCUUUUAACUCGAUUAAAGCUUAAUUAAUUAGAUGAUGUUGAAGAAGAAGAUUAUCGCCAAGGGUUGUCAAUGGCCAUGAAUUGAAUUCGGCAGAGAAUUAAAGAGACGGAUUUUCUUGUGAUUCAAUUGUCAUAUUAUAUAAAUUUUUAUGUAUUAUGGUGAUGAUAGCAAAAUUACAAAUCAUUUACGGAAUGAAAUGUAACCGCAACAACUGAAUCUCUCACUAGAAUAUUGAUAUGAUGCCUUACAAGAUCCCCAAAAACAGAACAUGAAGAUUGUUGGUACCAUAUUAUAUUGAGCCUCGUUAUUUAGGCUUCCAGACAUUGAGCCCAUGAUUCAUGUAAAAGAGGAGGAGCCCUUAGUCUAUAAAAGGUCUCCUCACCCUCACAAUCCUCAAGGUCUCAUCCUCACAUACAAAGCCACAAGGCUCACAAACAGAGAAACUCUCUCAAACUCUUUUUUCUCUGGGUACUCCCCCUCACACUUGUAAUCCAUACAUACAGUUACAGAGAAAUAUGAUUAACAUCAGUGUGGACGUAGCCCAAACAUUAGGAUGAACCACGAUACAUCUUGUGUUCUUUACUUUCUUGCAAAUUCACGGUCGGAUUUACGUUGUUCCAAGACUCCUCCGAUUUUGAUGAACAUGAUCCGCAGAUUUGCAGACCGGCAGAUACACGAACCCCAACCCUUGUUACAGUUACAUAUAUUCACUAUUACAAUUCAACAGUUACGGUCUACUUGAUCACCGGAACCUUACGAUCCAGGUGAUCACCAGAACCAGGAAAUCGACAAUUGUCUUCAAUAGAACAAGUUUCGGAAGAAAGAGUGCUUGGAGUGGUAUAGCAUUCAGGGAGUCGGAAAAGAAAUUACCCCGCCCAACACUUGAAAAAAUUUUCCCCAUUAAUUACAAACCUUGGUCAACAUUUAUACCCGACCUGGGCGCUUCCUCAUUACGAACACCAUUGAUGGAGGCAGAGAGGGAGGCAUACGCCGUACGCGGCACUUGCUGAGGGUGCUCUAUGGUUAAAAUUUGGGCGGCCUUGCCGGAAACGUCUCGUGCAAGAGUCAAUUUUUAAGCCUUUCGCCCCUUUCAGGUUGGUGGGAGAAUCAGAAAUUUCCAGCUUCGCAAACCCAUUCACAUUUUUCGGAGAUUAAACUCGGAGUUUAUAACCUUUUGACCCGAUUGAACUCGGAGUUUAAGCUAACUUUUGGGAAAUUGAGCGGACUUUAAAGCUUCUGUUCAACUUUCAAAAACUUCAAAUAUUUUUCUACAAGUUGAAUCAUCAUAACUAAUCAGAAUAGACGAUUGUUUGGGAUAAAAUCUGAACUUUGGGCCAGAGAGAAAGUCGGCCCAAACCCAAGGCCCAGAGGAAAACUUAGGAGGCAGGAAAGAGGCUUUCGGCUGGGCACAAAUUACAAAGGCCACCUGCUUACCUGCUCAAAGACCACAGGGGGUAGGUUAUUCAAUCACUGCACAGCCCAAUAAAGUACUUUAUUGGUGGCAUUCAUGUAAAAAAGCUAGUGAGUCAUCACCAAACCGCAUUCGGGCAACCGCCAUUGCUACAGGAACCCAAGCUGAAUCCGUCUAUAAAAUGAGGAAGAGAAGACAGAAUUAAGGACACUCAAUCAAACAAACAAAAGCCAAAACUCUGCUCAAGCCAGAUUUGCCUUCAACAAAGCUGUAGUCAGCACAAGCCUUCAUCCCGUUCGGGAUAAACCUUCCCAAACCCCUGUAAUAGCUCUGCUACCUUGUUCUUGUGGGUAUCGAUUCAUUUUGUAUCCUCUUCUCCCCAUCAACCCCUUCUGAAAGCUUUCAGACCUCUGAUAGAGCCACAAAGAUAGAUUUUGUAAGAAGUUCAGCCUUGGCCGAUAAGGUUCAAACUUGCCCGACUAUCUUUGCUCUAUCUUUGUCUUUUCUUUCUUUUAAAAGCACAAUAACAUGUUAUAUAUUCUCAGUUAUAUACAAGUUAUUUCUGGCAAAGUCACAAUGAAAAUGAGUCUUCAGCACUUGAAUCCGAUCUGAAUCACGUCAGAGUUUAGAUCAGAUCUGAGGCUUAAGCCCGCGGGCAUGUAAUUUAAAGAUCAGUUUAAAAGUCCUUGGCCUCAAGGCAUAAAAAAGAACUCUAUGUGGACUCAACCCAUCCACGACGAUCCUUGAUAAGCGAGAAGUCUGAAGUUACUUGGGGCGCAAGUAAUCAAUCUAUUUCUCCGUUUUGUUGCUAUUAUAUCUUGAUUCGUAAAAAAGGCUUAAGCAUAGAGUGAAUUCUGAUAGAAAGCCUCAAGGUCUACACCUAAGGCCCCACGAAGGCAUCUAUUUAGCUUCAUUUUAUGUUGCGGUCUAGUUGGUCCGAGUAUAAGGAUUAACUCUGAUGGGAAGCCUCAAGGCCUAUACCUAAUGCCCUACAAAGGCACUCAUUUGGGUUCGUCCUACCUCUUGGAUUCAGAUAAUCAAAGGUAUAAUAGUGAUAAAACUCUGGCAACCAUAAAAGGCAAAAUAUGAUACAUCCAAGCGCUGGUUUAGUUUGACAGGAAGCCUCAAGGCCUACACCUAAGGCCUCAUAAAGGCACCUGUUAUAUCUAACUCGGUUUCUCGGGCGUAUACAUAUUCAACCAAAGCUUAAACACCCAUUCAACAUCUGCCAUACUGAAGAUGGCAGUGGCACGCCUGAGCACGAUAAAGUUAAUCUUGAUUGUGAGCCUCAAGGCCUACAUCUAAGGCCCCACAAAGGCACCCUUUCAAAUUAACUCUGUCCUUCUCUUUCAGAACUGCCCGACGAGCCUUGCCCGAAGUGUGUCUUGCCCGACCAAGAUCUGCCCGACGAAGGCCUUCCCGAGCAAGCCCGAGAAGAAAGCAGGAGUACGACAGAUACCCUCAACCGACGCCAUUCUCCCAGGGGAGCUGUGUGCUCGACCGCCAGGAGAUUUCUGCGACGAACAACGAUCCUCUUGGUUAUUAAGUCAUACAGUUUUUCAGGUUCCUGAAAGUAAUUACUACCCGUUUUCACAAUUUGAUUUUCUUUUCGUACGACUGCAUUUUCCCGGUAACCAAACAGAUGGUAAAGACAAAUGGGUGUGAGAGAAGGAGGUAGAAGAUAGAUACUUCUCGAGUCUUGGCUUUAUCCGAGGAGAACUUGGAGACAAUCUCCAGGACUUCUCUGGAAGUCACCAUCGGAGGCCGCCGAAGCUCCGAUGACAACCCGGCAGUCUGAAUAUGAGAGACUGGAGCUAGAGUUUCGUUUCCCGGUGAGAAUUUGGGCAGUUUAUAACGGAGAAAAUGGCGGGAAGACGGUUGGUUGGGAAAGUGGAAAGUUGGAGAUGUUUGGUGAAGGGUUUACGACAGGAAAGGUUUAUAUUUGCGGGAAUACGUCCAACCAAGAAAAGGGAAAGACGAUGCAGGAAAAUAAUUUCUGUUCUUCUCUUCUUAUUGUUUGGGACCCCACCCCAGUCCAUUUGUAUGGGAAAUUUUUUAUUGUGACUGAAAUUGGUGAUAUAUUAUGUGUUUUUAAUAUGUACGUAGAACGAAAUUUUAUUUUUUAAGUUAUUAACUUUUUAAUACAUAUAUCACAUCAUUUAUAUAGUGACACGGGAUCACACUGAAAAAUCUCUUCAUUUGUACACGACAGUAGUUCUAAACAUGUGAAUUGUAAAGUUUUUAGAGGGAAAUUGGAACACAAAAUCUCGAGUGCAUGAGCGAAUGCUAUAACCGAGUUACAAGCCACUUGUCAUUUGGAUUGUAACUAUUUCAUAAGGAAAUGAUAAACACACAUUUUUUUUAGCUUCUUACACAUCAUUAUUUAAUCUUAUCUGUUGUUUUUGUAUGAUACAUUCAAUUUGAUGGUUAGAAAUAAGUGAAUUUUAACGAAAAACUCCUGGUACUAUUCACUUUAACGAAAAACCACAUUUUAAUACUAAAAAGUCAAUCUUGGUACUAUUUACUUUACUCUUUGUUUUGUCUUUAUCGUUAAAAUUCAAAGUUUUAAAACCCUUUUCAUUAGUUUUUUUUAGAAAUAAAGAGAUGUGUAAGAGAAAUUAAUUAAGAUGUGUAAAAUUCAAAUCCUUAAUUCGUAACCUAUGGGAUAGAUGCAAUGAUUGAAAUUCACUAUUACAUUCAGAAAAUGAAACUCAUACUCAGAAUGAUUGAUCCUUGGACCGGUUACGAGUCAAUCAAAGCGUAAGUGUACACGGAGUAGGAUUUUCUUCUUUUUCUUUUUGUUCUCUCAUUUUUUUUUAUUUGAACGAUCACGGUUAAAUCACGUUAACAUUUUAUAUUAAUUUUUUAUAGUAAAAGAAAGACAAAAUAAAAGAAUGUGAGAGUAAGGAAUGAAAAGAUGAGGAGAGAAAAUCUUAAUCCGUGUAUGACAUGAUUAAUAUUGUAACACGUAUUAUAAUAUGUGUGAAAUUAUAACAUCACCUGCAGUUACAUUGAAAACUUUAAUGUUUGUUUUUACUUUUUACAAUUCAUGCCCUCCUUGGAAGAGGCUCCUCGAUCAAUCAUUCAUGCAACAUAAUAACAUAUGUAUCCUAUUUUAUCGUUGUAUUACGAAUCACUAGUCACGGAUCUAGAAAUUUUUCUGAAAAAUAUCACAUAUAAAAUGUUCACAAAUAUUCUGUAGACAAAUAAUCCCCUACGUACUCAGUAGGAUAUUCAAAUAUUCAUGACAAAAUUUAAAUGGUUGGUUUGAUGUAGUGAGCAUUCAUCUUUGUAUAGUUGCAAUUUUAUCGGAUGUUUUAAAUGGAGGAUACAUUAAGACCUACUUCAAUCCUUGGAGUAAAACUUAAAUUUUAGGUUCUAAAUUUACCCUAACUUGCUCAAACCCUUAGGCCAAAUAUGAGUUUUAACCUAAAACUCAUUUUUGGAGCAAAUUUAACCCAGAAUUCCUCCAGGGUUAGUGGGUUGGCCCACCAUAUAUGUGUAUCUUUUUUUAGUUUUAUAUUUAUAAAUUAUUUGAAUUCAACGGUUACGAUCUAAUAUGAUCAAAUCUAACGGUAAUGAAAAAGAUCUAACGGUUCAAAUUUAAAUCCAACGGUUCAAAUAAUUAUAAAAAAAAUCUUUCAUGUGUUUCAUAUUCUUUCAUAGUGUUCCACGAGUUUCAUGGUGUCAGUUUAGUGAUUUUGCAAUGUUUAUUGAAAUCUAAAUAUUUUUAGGUUAAAAUGUUCAUAAAAUUAAAUUAGGAUAGUGUACAUAUUUUAUUUUAAAUGUUACUUAAAGAAUUCUAAAUUCAUUUUUUAAUGACCUCGAACUAAAAAUUUAACCCAUCAGGGUUGGAAUAGAAAACAUAUUUCUGAGUUAAAACCUAAAUUUUAUGGGUUAAAAAUUCUACGUUUUAACCAAAAAGUUGAAAAUAGUCUAAGCAUUCAUUUAAAUUAAAAAAUGAUGAUGGUUAUAAUAAUGGGCAAAAUUGCUUUUUGAAUUGCAUUAUUAAAAAAUAUGGGGCCAAAAUUGCUACACAGUAAUAUGGGGCCGCAACCCAACCAAAAUCAACCCAAUUAUUCUGUAAAUUAACCAACAAAGCUAGAAAAAAAAAAUUAAUAAGUUCAUAAAAAUAGAGGAAUUGUAUUUUUUUUUCCAUAAAUAAAACACAUAUCUGAGCCUUAAAAAAUUAGAAAAAAGUAAAAACAAUUCAGAAAAAAUCAGAAUUUUUUUUUACUAACUAUUUAUUUUAAUUUUAUAGUCAUUUAUUGUUAAAAUGACCCACAAUAUAACUUGCGCGACCUUUCAGCCUCUCCCUCGCAUUGAAUUCCAAAUUGCCCUUUUUCUGCCCUAUUGAUUUCCAAGAAUCUUUUGAAACCCCUUUGUCUCUAGCGAGAUGAAACACUACAAUGGUGACAUGACUUAGAAAGAAGAGGCUAAGAAGCUUCUAGCCCUGCAAGAUGCUCGACGACGACGAAGUUGGGUAAGUUCUGAACCAUUUUCCGCAGCAAAAUCCAAUUAACGCAGAACCAUAACUUAGAUGAUCGACCGAGUGAUUCGUUUUACAAAGUAGGAAGACUCAAAGAAUGGUUAUGGUGACCCUGCGCCCGCUGUGACAACUCAUAUACCUCAGGAAGCAGAACCUGACAUGGUCGACAGAGUGAAACACAUCCAAGACUCAAAAAUGGUCAUUGUGACCCUAUGACUGGUCAGGAAGAGGAGGACAAGAAGUUUCCGGCUCCUCGCAAGAUGCUCGACCACGGAGCAGGUUCAGUUCUGAACUAUUUUCCGGAGCAAAAUCCCAUCUAUGGAGAACCGUAACCUUGUUGAGAAUAUGGCGUUUAAGAAUGGGAAAAACAAGAACAAACUCCGGAAAUCAAAAAACAAAUAACCAAGAUAAAUAACACCAAGAAUUUACGUGAUUCGGCAAUAUGUGCCUACGUCCACGGGACAGCAGCAAUAAUCUUUCACUAUAUAAAUAAUGAGUACAACCAAUAAUCUUGCCAAAUCUCUAGAACUAGAACUUGACGAAAAACCUGAAAGAACAAGAACAAGAAAUACACUAUCUCUUUUCUUUUCUCUCGCACACACUUUACAAUAUUUUCUCACUCUAAUCCCUUGAGUGGUAUACAAUUUAUUGUUUUGCUCCCUCCUCAAAACUAGUACAAUAACACUUAUAUAGACAUAUUCUUCAAUAAAGAUUAUUAAUCCUAAUUGGAAUAUAGUUAUGAAUCCUACUCCAAUUGAGAAACUAACCCCAAUUGGGAAAACAAUUUAAUCCUCUAAGACUAUUAACCCUGUUUGUACCAUACUUGACCAAUCCCGAAACUACCGAGCACCGGCCAACGCUAUACUGUCAAGGACCCAGAAGAGUUCCCCUCCGACCAGGAGGCCAAUCACUACUCGACACGUGUCAAGAUUAGAAGCCAAUCAGAGCGCAGCACGUGUCGACAUCAAGAACCAAUCAUAACAUGACACAUGUCAAUGUGACAAAGCUACAAGUUUUUCUAUAAAUAGGGGUCAUUCCCCCACAAUAUUGCCUAAUGACAUUUUGUGUUAAAUCAUUCACAAGAACUCACUAAAUUGAGAGCUUGAUCCUUUGUACUUGUGUAAGCCCUUCACUACUAAUAAGAACUCCUCUACUCCGUGGACGUAGCCAAUCUGGGUGAACCACGUACAUCCUGUGUUUGCUUCUCUGUCUCUAUUCAUUUACGUACUUAUCCUCACUAGUGACGGAAGCAACCAAGCGAAGGUCACAAAACCUGACACUUUCUGUUGUACCAAAGUCUUCGCUGAUUUUGUGCAUCAACAUUUGGCGCCGUCUGUGGGGAAACGACACUUAUUCCUACUCUCUUCAGCUGUGUCAAGCUGGUUUCUAUCAUUCGUACACUUUCUUUUGAUCAGGCAUCCCUCUCCAGCAUGGGAAGCGAAGGAAGCCACAGCACACAGAAUGACACCCCCUUGCACAUAGUGCGAAACAACGAAAGAAGGAAGGAAAACGAGUUCUUCUUCAAGCUAAAGUCGAUGAGUUGGAAGCUCAGAACAACAAGAUAGCAAUGAGGAAUGAGGUCCUCCAGGAGCAAUAUGAGAAGCUCUUCGAGACACUCCACGAAGCUAGGCAAGCUCAGACACGCGAGCUUGUUGCCCCCGUGGAAGUCAACCAUCAACUGGGUGCCCUCCAACAUGGAGGGUCACAUGCAUUCGACAUAGAUAUCCCUGAUAGGGAACAAAUUACCCCUCGAUUUGAUAAUCAACAUGAGGCUUCUCUUAACCCAGUUGCUUCGACCCGAACCAUGAGAAGCGGAGGGAGACACCUCUUUGCUGAAGGGGCAGAAGGAUCGAAAGCCGUCUUUCGCGAUUGUCGGGAUUUCCUGAAGCAACGUCGAGAGAAUUCCAUCCAUAUAAGCUCAAAGAUCAAUGACCCAAGGAUUUCUGAGAGACUCGGUCCCCCUGCCACGGCCCGAGCCGGCCACCAACUUGGGGAAGGUGCAACAAGUCCUAGAGAGACAUGAGGGUACAGGGGACUCAGAGGUGUUCCGACAGACAUACCCUGGAAGCCAGUACAGCGAGUCCAGGGAAAAAUCACAUGCCCUUGAUCAAACCUUCCUAAUUCCAAGAGGAGAUGGAGAUUUACGAAAGAAAGCUCCAGUGGCACAUAACUCCGCUCAGGACCCCCUUGUCCUACAACUUCUUGAGGAAGUAAACAAGUUGAAGGCUGAACGUCAGGCUGAAAUACCUGACUGGAACCAACCCAGGCCUGGCCCUCUUACAAGGAGGAUCCUCAACACCCCCCUUCAAGCAAAGACAAAGCAGAAGCUUGGCUUGCAACUUUAUACUGGAAAAGAGGACAGAAUUGAGCACCUUAACCUCUUUGAGUCCACCAUGGCAUACCGGAUGCACACCGACGAAGAGCGAUGUCUUCUCUUCCCCUCCACCCUCUCUGGCGGAGCUCUAAAUUGGUAUUGUCGUCUUACACCUGAGACGGUAGACUCAUUUGAGGAAUUGAGGAAACUAUUUGUUUCCCAACACAUUUUCCAAACCGAUCGCUUGCACUCUGCAGAUGACCUGUACACUAUCCGCCAGAGGCCAGACGAGUCAUUACGUAUGUAUGCUGGCCGCUUCAGCCAUGAAUACUCCCGGUGUGCCGAGGCAGACGACAAGACUGCCCUCAAAGCCUUCACGGCAGGCCUACGUGAUUGUUUCUUUAAAUACAUGAUCAAUGCCAAUACUUGGAAGACUUAUUCUGAGGUGAUGGCGCAGGCUUAUAACCAUGCCUCCGCCGAGGCAAAGACAUAUCAGGAGAAACCCCCUCACCCAACGCCAUGGAGGAAGAACUAGCAAUAGCUAAAGUUUGACGGUUGGGAAGAUCAUCCAAUGUUUCUCUAGUACAGGACUCUAACAAAGACCCUGAAGACUCCGACAUUGCAGACUCAGACUUAGAGCUAAAGCUAGAAGAGCCCUCAUCACUAGAACUUCCAGACUCUGACAUCUACAAUAAGAAGAAACAAAUUCUAUCACUACAUGCAUGAUCAAAACAUAAGGAAGUUCCUAUAUUACCCACAUGAAGAUGGUGCAAAGCGAUGCCGGAACCCUUCUCAAUCAGAAAGCAAUCCGUCUUCCACAGUCACUACAAAACAAGCAAAUGAAGACCGUGUCAAGCGCCAAAAAAAAAAAAAAAAAAAAAAAAAAAAAAAAAAAAAAAAGCUUCAUCCAAAAAGCUUCACCUCCAAAACUUCACCCAAAAAGCUUCAUCCAAAAAGUUUCACCCAAAAAGCUUCACCUAAAAAAGCUUCACCCAAAAAAAAAACUUCACCCGAAAAGCUUCACUUAAAAAAGCUUCACCUACACAGCUUCACCUAAAAAAGCUUCACCUAGAAAGCUCCCUCUACAUACUUUCACCUACAAAGCUUCACCAUCAAAGCUUCACCUCGAAAGCUUCAUCUACAAAGCUUCAUCUACAAAGCUUCACCAUCAAAGCUUCACCCAAAAAGCUUCACCUAAAAAAGCUUCACCCAAAAAAAACUUCACCUCCAAAAAGCUUCACCCAAACAGCUUCACCUAAAAAAGCUUCACCCACAAAGCUUCACCUAAAAAGCUUCACCCACAAAGCUUCACCCAAAAAACUUCACCCGAAAAGCUUCACUUAAAAAAGCUUCACCUACAAAGCUUCACCUAAAAAAGCUUCACCUAAAAAAGCUUCACCUAGAAAGCUUCACCUACAUAGCUUCACCCAGAAAGCUUCACCUAGAAAGCUUCAACACCAAAGCUUCACCUACAAAGCUUCAACACAAAAUCUUGCUCCAAAUAAACAAAUUUUGUUCACAAAACCCAAGAUGCCCUUGAACUUGUACAAAAAACACAGGUCAACAAAACAUUUGUUUUUGUUCUACACCCACAACAUCCCUGUCAUAACCAAACAAGCAAUUAUGUAUAUGUUUCCAAACAUAUUAUAAUAGAUCCAACAACAAGCCAAAGUCCCAAGUUUCAUAAUGGACAAAAGUACAGCAAUUCAUCAAUAAUGAAGGUGCUACAAAACUUGGAAUCUGCCCCAAAAUAGAAAUCCAACCCAAGAGACUUUUUCUCUCUCUCCCUCUUCCGCCUCCUUUCAUCUAUCAAAUUUCUGCAACCUCUGCUCUUCUCCAAUGGAGCUGAAUUUUGGACACCCUGUAGUUUUUGAGCAUAUGAACAACUUUCAAGAAGGAACCAUUUCUGUUUGAGCGACGGAAAUUAAAGUGUUGAAGCUCCAAACAUGACAGUCGGAUUCUUGCAGAUUUCGAAGCUGCUAUGAUGUUUCGAAGAUCUGGAAAUAUUUAACCAUUAGUUCAUUCUGAAUGUUUGAUAUGUUAUGAAAGAGACGAUGAGGCACAACUUCAAUGAAGAAAGCAUGCUGAUCUGAACAAUAGAAAAUGGAGUUUCGAAGCUCACAACAAAUCUGACGGGUUGACAGAAAAAUAAUAACCAGUCAUUCAUCAUACCUGAAUUUCUUGAGUUAUAUAGCUCCGAGGGAUCUCAAAUUUGGAUAUGUUGUAGUUCACAAGCUGAGGAACAACUUCAAUGAAGAAAGCAUGCUGAUCUGAGCAAGAGAAAAUAUAGUUUCAAAGCUCACAACAAAUCUGACGGGUUGACAGACAAAUGAUAAACAGUCACUCAUCAUACCUGGAUUUCUGGAGUUAUACUACUCCGAGGGACCUCAAAUUUGGAUAUGUUGUAGUUCACAAGUUAAGGAACAACUUCGAUGAAGAAAGUAUGUUGAUCUGAACAAGAGAAAAUGGAGUUUCGAAGCUCACAACAAGUCUGACAGGUUGACAGAAAAAUGAUGAACAGUCACUCAUCAUACCUGAAUUUCUGGAUUUGUACUGCUCCGAUGGAUCUCAAAUUUGGAUAUGUUGUAGCUGACAAGGUGAGGAACAACUUCGAUGAAGAAAGUAUGUUGAGAUGAACAAGAAAAAAUGGAGUUUAGAAGCUCACAACAAGUCUGACGGGUUAACAGAAAAUUGAUGAACAGUUACUCAUCAUACCUGAAUUUCUGGAGUUGUACUACUCCGAUGGAUCUCAAAUUUGGAGAUGUUGUAGUUCACAAGAUAAGGAACAACUUUCAUGAAGACGACUUUGCGAUCUGAGCUAUAGAGAAUGGUGUUAUCUUGCAUCCACUCAGGCUGAUUAGUGGAAACAAAAAGCAAUUCCACCAAAGAAAAGAUGAAAAAGAGAGAAAAGCUACUAAUUGCACUUGAUCUUGUCUAGUCAAUAGCAUGCAGCAUCAAACACACAAAAGUUGGAAAUAUUUUUAGAUAAGGCAUAUGCGAAUGUGUGACAUCGAAACAAGGAUUCGUUACUUUGACAAAUUAGUAACAAGCGAGACACCUCAUUCGGCAACUCUCUUCGCCUGAAGACUUGGGGGACUCCCACCAUAUGUUACUGCACCUUAAUACUCGGCAGUCUCACAACCACUCAGUGACUUGGAUUUUUCAAGUCUCCAACCGAGAAGUUUUCCUCACUCGGGAAAUUAAGGGAACACUACCUCAAACUACAUGCUUCACUCACAAAGCUUCAACAAUACAGGUUUCAACAAAAGCAAAAAUUCAAAGAACUUUAUGAAGAAGGCUUUGGUGUAUUUAACACAAUAUAAUUGAAAUGAAGCAAAGCUUAUUUAUUAAUAUUUUCGAUAAGCCACAAAUAUGUACAUAUACAUGAGUCAAAAUAAACAAACAAAAGGGAGCCUUCACAAAGGUUGCUUAGGGGAAGUCUCAGCAGUCGGUAGAGCCCCAGAAAGAGAAAGCACCGGAGGGUGGUUAUCCGGAGCCUCAGUACUGGACAAAACCCCAGAAGGAGGAGGCAUUGGAGGUUCAUCAUUUGAAGCUUCAUUACUAGGUACAGCCCCAGAGGACGAAGGCAAUAAAUGCCUUUGGAACAAACCCACACUACUGAUGAUCAAGUAAAACCUUACCAUCAGAUUCCUUCAUCUGGUCAAGCUUCCUCUUCAUGUUUGUAGCAUAGUCAUGGGCGAGCCGGUGCAACUGCUUAUUCUCAUGCUUGAGCCCUCUAAUCUCCUGUUUGAGACUCAUCACUUCAGCAGCCAAUGAUUCAACUUGGCGGGUUCUAGCAAAUAGGCGUUGGGCCAUAUUAGACACAGAACAUGCACACUGAACACUAAGAGCCAGAGAGUCCUUAACAGCCAACUCAUCAGACCGUUUGGAAAGUAGUCUGUUAUCUUUGGGAGUGAGAAGGUUCCUGGCCACCAUUGCAGCGGUCAUAUCAUUCUUCAUCACAGAAUCCCCAACGGUAAGAGGACCAGUAGGGGAUAUGAAGGAUGGGCGCCAUAUGUUGUCUGGAGAAGGCGUGGCUGUCUCUUCUCCAAGGUUCAGGUCAAAACGACGGUCGGAGGGUCCAGACAUUUUCAAAUGUGUUGAAGAAGGAAGAGGUCAGACAAAUCAAGAUCUUAGAAGUGCAAGAAAUGAGCUUCUACUGGUAGAGAUUCAGGUGUGCUGUGGAACUUAAUGCCAGCCUCUAUAAAAAUCUGCACUCGACGGAGCUUCAGAAAUCGAAGAGGCGUUUGCUUUUCUCAAAAGCUGGGCUGCUCAGAGACCACGAGGGCCGAUCUCAGAAAUCGAAGAGGCGUUUGCUUUCUCAAAAGCUGGGCUGCUCAGAGACCACGAGGGCCGAUCUCAGAAAUCGAAGAAGCACCUGCUUUUUCAUCCUCGUCAGCACCUGUCACAUGCACAAUCAGCUUUGCGAAAAUUACGGGCAAUCUGUCGAAGAUUUCUGGUGAAGUAAAAAUCACGUGAAUCUUACUGUUCAAUCACCGCUCUCCAUAUGCACCAUCAACUCCUCGGGUACCACAUAUAACUUUGUCAAAGAUCUCUGACAAAGUUUAGGCACGAGAAUUUCGAAGUUCCAGCUACCCUACUAUUACCCAUAAGGGUAAAGGAACAGCACCACUGCUUGACAACUGGAAAGUCCCUAUGUGUGUCGACCUCCGUGUUUUGUGGCAAGACAGGUUGGCAAGAACGUCCAACCUUUACUCACAUUCGAGAAAAGACUCCUAACAUAAUUACUUUCUCAAAAACCGGAGUAGCACACCGCUUUCCGAAUCUCGAGAGUCAGAUCCUCGACGGGAUUGCUUGUUCGAAAACCGAAGAGGCACAACUCUCAGAACUUCGAGAGCCAGAUUUCCUUAGAUAAAGCUUGUCUGUAAUCUUCACACGUAAUAUCAGCUUUCCAGAUACCACAUACCACUUUUUCAAAGUGCUCUGACAAAAUUAAAACACGUGAAGCUGGCAACUCCCACUACAUUGCUGUGACCAAGAAGGGUAAAGGAAUAGCAUUACUACUUGUUAUUGGGAAAUCCCUAUAUACAUUGACCUCCCUCCUCAACGGACAGGCAAACCUGCAAAAAUGCUCAACCCUUUCUCGCAUUCGAAAAGGCACCCUCAACAUAACCUCUCGAAAUACUCAGCUUUAUUUCCCCCCGAUAAUACCUCAGCAAAUAAGCCACACCAAGAACAAGAGUAUCUCAUAUCAUCAGGGUCGAAAGCAAGAGUAUCCCAUAUCAUGCUUUCUCCCUAUCUUGUCUUUGUCCUUGUCCACACCUGCAGGACAAGGAGAAAGAGAGCAGUCAGUCGGAACCUGAAAUCAAACCUCCAAUUUGGAACUGACUGCCUGGAGCCUUUGCCUGGUUGCUUACUUAGCAUUGCUCUCGAGUACUCAUCCUCAACUGCUGUCAAAGUCACGAAUUCCACCGGCAAAUACCUCAUGACAGUUGAUCAGAUAUUGGCUCUUUACACUGAAGCUGCCAAGCGUGGAUGAGUCACUAUGAUGGAAUGUUCUGAAGGACCAUUAAAAUGCAAAGGUUGCACACCACUUCUGCCAUGCAAAAGAUUGAAGCAGAAGGUUCAACGGUGAGCUGAAACAGAUCACUACAGCACGACACCUUUCCAUACCACAUUCAUUAUUCCGUCAACAGCAAAAGUAUCCCAUAUCAUCAAGGUCGAACGUACUCUAGAUUUGAUGGACUUGUUUUGACCCUCAAAUUUUUGAGUCGGCCUUAUACUCUGAAGGGCACCAGAAAACCCUCCAGCACAGUUCAAGAAUAAGCCUGUGGAAAGUUACUUCUUCAAAAAGCAAAAGUAUCUCAUAUCAUCUCUUAUCCAUUUGCUUCUCCUUAUCCUGGCAGUUGAAUGAGAGACAAGGAGAAGGAGAACAAUCAACCGGAAGCCGAAGUCAAACCUCUGAUCCUGGGUUGCUUACUUGGAAGUUUGACUGCUUACCUUGUCUGUCACCUCUUUCGGCAGAUCUCCUAGCUCGGCAACUUGGGGGACUCCUACUAUAGGGUUUGUAUCACACUUGACUAAGCCCGAAACUACAACUAAGCUUUAAGUGAAAUUGAUACAUUACCUUGUGCGUCAACAUCAGCUAAGUACACCAUUCCCGGAUGGAGGAAAGGUACUUCCAGAGAAGGGCAGAUGAAGAUCAGACCACACUUCGGUACUUAGAAGUUUCGUGAUUACUCAAGGGAUUGGAUCUUGCAAGUCCCCAACUGAGGAGUUUCCCUCACUCGGGAACUUAGGGGAGCACUGUUUGUACCAUACUUGACCAAUCCCGAAACUACCGAGCACCGGCCAACGCUAUACUGUCAAGGACCCAGAAGAGUUCCCCUCCGACCAGGAGGCCAAUCACUACUCGACACGUGUCAAGAUUAGAAGCCAAUCAGAGCGCAGCACGUGUCGACAUCAAGAACCAAUCAUAACAUGACACAUGUCAAUGUGACAAAGCUACAAGUUUUUCUAUAAAUAGGGGUCAUUCCCCCACAAUAUUGCCUAAUGCCAUUUUGUGUUAAAUCAUUCACAAGAACUCACUAAAUUGAGAGCUUGAUCCUUUGUACUUGUGUAAGCCCUUCACUACUAAUAAGAACUCCUCUACUCCGUGGACGUAGCCAAUCUGGGUGAACCACGUACAUCCUGUGUUUGCUUCUCUGUCUCUAUUCAUUUAUGUACUUAUCCUCACUAGUGACGGAAGCAACCAAGCGAAGGUCACAAAACCUGACACUUUCUGUUGUACCAAAGUCUUCGCUGAUUUGUGCAUCAACAAACCCCAAUUGGGAAAACAAUUUAAUCCUCUAAGACUAUUAAUUCCCAAUAGACUUAGGACAACUAAUCAUGGGCUGGAAAAAAACCCAACAAUCUCCCCCUCCAGACCAUGAGGAAGGUAUACCAUAAUAGGAUUGCUCAUCUUGACCAAACUCCCAUUGAUCGAACUUUUCAUGACCAAACUCCCCCUGAUCGAAUUACCCAUAACCAAGCUCCCCUUGAUCGAACUACGAAUUAACCAAGACCCUCUUGAUUAGAUUUCUCUUGACCAGGCUCCCCUUGAUCACAACACCCAUCGUCAUUGGCAAAGGCAAUUAUAGACUUAUUUGCCAAAAAACCAUCAAUCAUCUGCAUUAAAGAAGCUCUUCAUCGUAAGUCACAACACUUGCAAUAUUGUUCCCAUCCUUUUGUUCAUUUUUCCAUUUACGACAAUGCUUCUUCAUGUGACCCUUUUUCCCACAAUAGUGGUAGUUGCCAUUGAAUCUCGUCUCACCAGAAUUUUUGCCUCUUUUCUCUGUGACAAAUAGUUGUCUAGCGCCUGCACCUGAAGCUUUUCUCCUUGUUUCUUCAUUAAACAUGCUAUCCUUAACGGCAUCCAUAGAUAGUAUACCAUUAGAAGUCGAAUUGCUUACAGUUACGACGAAGGUUUCCCAACUAUCUGGCAAGGAUCCUUGCAAUAAAAGUGCUAGCAGCUAUUCUUCAAUAUUCAAACCCACAGUGGCUACCUGAUUGAUCACGUUCUAAAAGUUGUUCGAGUGCUCGGUUACACUAACAUCUUUCGCAUACUUCAUGUUGACAAGCUCUUUGAUAAGGAAUGCUUUCUUGGCAGCAGUCUUCUUCUCAAAUAGGGAUUCUAACUUCUUCCAAAGAGCUUGCGCAUCAGUUUCUUUAGACACAUGGUGAUAGAUGCUCUCAUCCACCCAUUGUCUAAUUGUACCAAUAGUUUUACGAUUCAUCUUGGUCCAAUUGGCAUUAGACAUAUUUUCUGGCUUGCUCUUAACACCUUCAAUUGGCUCAUGGAGAUCUUUUCAAUAAAGCAUGUCCUCCAUUCUUGAUUUCCACGUAACCCAGUUGGAGCGGGUGAGUUUCAUCAUAAUUGAACCCUCCAUUCUAAAUGGAUAUCAGCCGAACCUGGCUCUGAUACCACUUGUUGAGAAUAUCACGUUUAAGAAUGGAAAAAACAAGAACAAACUUCGGAAAUCGAAAAACAAAUAACCAAGAUAAAUAACACCACAAAUUUACGUGAUUCGGCAAUAUGUGACUACGUCCACGGGACAGCAACAACAAUCUUUCACUAUAUCAAUGAUGAGUACAACCAAUAAUCUUGCCAAAUCUCUAGAACUAAGACUUGACGAAAAACCUGAAAUAACAAGAACAAGAAAUACACUAUCUCUUUUCUUUUUUCUAACACACACUUUACAAUAUUCUCUCACUCUAAUCCCUUGAGUGGUAUACAAUUUGUUGUUUUGCUCCCUCCUCAAAACUAGUACAAUAGCCCCUUUAUAUGGACAUAAUAAAGGUCUUCUUCAAUAAGGAUUAUUAAUCCUAAUUGGAAUCUAUUUAUGAAUCCUACUCCAAUUGAAAAACUAACCCCAACUAGGUAAACAACUCUAAUUGGGAAAACAAUUUAAUCCUCUAAGACUAUUAAUUCCCAAUAGACUUAGGAAAACUAAUCAUGGGCUGUUAAAAACCCAACAAACCUAAGGUGUUCAACGGAGUGAAACAUGUCCAAGAAUCAAAGAAUGGUAAUUGUAACCCUGCGCCCGCUGUGAUGGCUUAGGUAAACAAAACCUGACAUGGUUGAUGGAGUGAAACACAUCCAAAACUCAAAGAAUGGUCAUUGUGACCCUGCGCCCCGUACAACGGCCGAAACCAUAUCCUUUAAAAUUAUUUUCGGAAAAAAGCAAGAAAAGUAAAAACAAUUCCAAAAAAAAAAAAAAAUCAUCUUUAAAAUUAUUUUCCCUCUAGAUACAAAAUCAUAUCCUUCUCUCGUCCACAUCGCAAGAGUCCCUAAUAAUUUGCAAUUACAAAUUUACAGGGAACCAAGCUCGACAGAUUUGUGGGUUCAUUUUCUUUUUACAAAUCAAAUUACUAACCAGGUUAAAUUUUUGCUAGCAUGUUACGUCUUCUUUCAAAGGUUUUAGCUUCUUAUAUCAAAGUUACGAAUCAUUUAUUGCAUGGCAGGGUAAAUGAAAUGAAAUGGAACAAAUCAUUUCGGAGCUUGGUCCUUCCUCCAAAAGUUUAGUUUCCUCCAAUAUUUUAGUUUGGAUCUUAUAUUAUGAACCGUUUGGAAAUUAGACAUGAAACCUGAUGCCCAUGUAUCUAACCUUUAAAUUUUCAAAUAACACAAACUAUUCAUUUUCAAACUGUUGUAAAAUGAUUGUGAUUGUUAGGUGUAGGAUGAACUUCAUGGCAAAAGCGUUUGAGAACAAAACAGAAAUUUUGGACAGCGCAUGUCACAUACGGAGAGUAAACUUCAUGUCAGCUGCAUGCUUAGAUUAAUGGGUCUGAUCGUCUGGUCACUGGUGCCGAUGUCGAGAGCUGUUCGUUUACCACUUCAAGUGGCUUGUCGUUGUGGAGUUUUUUUAGGAAAAAAAAUGCUCAAACAUCAGGAUUUGUCUUUCUUUUCUCUGUUUUUUUUUUUUUUUUUUUUGCUUUCUUUUGGCUACAACAGAAGAGGGCACACAUGUAAUGCGUUUAACUCGUUUUUAAUACAAUAUUUAAGAAAAUUAAUUUAUAAUUGGAUUAAUCGCAUCACACGUGUGCCCUCCCAGUAAACACCUCACACGUGUGCCCUCCCAGUAAACACCACAACAUGGAAUUAUACAUCAAACAACGGCUCCAUACACACCACAACAAAAUGGUGUUGCUGAAAGAAAAAAUAGAACAUUCAAAUAUAUGAUUAAUUCCAUGUUAAAUAGUUCUGGGCUUCCACACAGUUUGUGGGGUGAAGCUUUACUUACUGCAAAUACCAUAUUGAAUAAGGUUCCUCUAAAAAGGAUUGACGAGUCACCUUAUGAGAUAUGGAAAGGACAUAAACCCACUUAUAAAACCCUUAAAGUGUGGGGUUGCUUAGCAAAGGUGCAAGUUCCGUUACCAAAAAGAACGAAAUUAGAACCUAAAACUAUUGAUUGCGUAUUCAUUGGAUAUGCAAAUAAUAGUGCUGCUUAUAGGUUCCUUGUUGUGAAAUCUUCGAUAUGUGUGGCAGCCAUGAUAUGUGUGUAGCAUAUUGUCUUGGUUUACUACUGCGGUGAACAGUUCAAGAUCUUCCACAUCCACUGCGUCACCAAGUAAACCCGAUAUGUUUUCACUAGGGUAAGUUCAAGUCCAAAAGACACUUCACCCGAUGCAUAUUAUGACUAUUCUCUCUCAGUUUUAGGCAGCCUAGUCACACAUUUGCAUUUACAUUUGCAUUCAAAUGUGGGGUCAUUGUUGGAGUUUGAAUGAAAUUUCAACUCAAAUGUGGGGUAUUGUUGGAAGUUUGAGUAGAAAUUUUCUUGUCCCACAUUGGCCAUUCCCAAAAGAGUUUAUCACUUUAUAAGGCUUUAUCCUUUAAAGAAAGUAAUUGGAGUAAUAGGCCUGGAGACUAUAAUUGGGCUCACCCUUGGGGUUGGGCUUUGGGGUGUAAUAAUUAUUUGGUAAUUAAUAUAUAAUUAAUAUAUAAUUAUUCGGAAUUAAGUAAUUAUUUUUAGGAAAAGACUCAUCCUUUCAGAUGAAGUCUGAAAGUUCUUUCUGAACACAGAGCAAAGCACCCCUCUGAAGAGAUGUCUCCCAACAGUCACACCCCAUUUUCAUACCUGUUGCAAACAGGCAUCCAUCUGCUAUAUAUACAUCCAUAUGCAUGGCAUUUAGAACACAGAAAUAAUAAACUUCAUCUUCUACAUUCAUAAACCUUCUUACUGAGAGAACCACAUUAAUAUUCGCCAGAAGUCUAUUUUCCGGUGCUGGAAUUUCUGACUUAGAUCGUUGAAUCCUGGUGGAACAGACGUCCGUAGAACUACAAGCACAGAGUAGGGACGAAAUUUCUGUUUCAAGGACAUUGCGGUACGCAAGCCUCGAUCUUCAAGUUGUCUGUUUUAUAAUUCAUAGUCUAGUUUAUAUUCUGUUAGUUUCUAUUGCAUUUCUUAUUUAUUAGCAUAUAUAAAUUAUCACAGAUUGUUGACUUAUAUCCAACAGGUUGUUGAGAAAACUGAAUUAAACAGGUUUUUUUUGUUUUGUUUGUUAAUUUUCUCGGAAACGUAGUUGAUUGUUGUGUUUCUGAAAAUUUGAAAACAAAAGAAGAAGGUGUUUGUGAAGUCGGUUUCGACGAAGAAGCAGGCUAAUACUGUUAUAAAUUUAUGUUUAUGUCAUUAGUUAACCAAAUGGCUCAAGUUCGCUGCAAAGAGUGUAAGAAUAAACCAUUAUGUAUUCCUUGCAUGCAUAACUGCUAUGCAUUAAUCUGCUCUGUAUCCUUUAAUACUUCUGAUUAAUAACUUACUAAGAUGUUGGGUUAAUUGAGUUCGUUUUGUUAGAAUGGCCACCACUUUUUGAAGUGAUUUUCUCUGGGUAGAAUCCAGCAAAUGAUGUUUGAUAUGGUUAAACAUAUAUAUAUUUAAGAUUUUGAUCUCGUGUGAUUUGGCAAUACUUUUCAGCUAAUAUUCCUCUCUCUCUCUCUCUCUCUCUCUCUCUCUCUCAUGAAGGCACUGAUUGCAUUAAAAAAAGGUUCCCAGUUAAUCAAGUAUAGCUGGAAAGGGAAGCCAAAACUUCAUCCAUUUCAAAAUUUCUACUGUGAGUAAUUUUCCUUUACAUUAGGAUAUUGGAUUCAUUUCAUACUAAUAAGUUUUUUAUCUUCAUCUUCUUCCUGCUAUGCAUCUCCACGAUCUGUACUAGAUAUCUUAACCGCUUGAAUGGCUUCAUUUUUCGUAUCUUAGAGGAUGAAACCACACUAAUCUGGUAUUCACAUGGAGAAGAACGAACUCUGAAAUUAGCUUCUGUCUCUCGAAUUAUCUCCGGACAGAGAACAGAGUUUAACUCCACUACCAAUAACUAAUCAAUAUUGUUUUGUUUCAACUCAGUAAUUGUGCGUUUCAGUCUAUAAUUAUGAACCACUAUUGAGUCCUACUCAACGUAUGUGGUUCAAAAAUUUGGUUAAAACCGAGGAUUGCUAUUUUUUUUCAAGCUAAAAAUGUAUAUAUACAUAGUUUAGGAAAGGGAUGCUUACAAUAUAGAAUGGCUAUAAAUGUUAUUGUAAUAGGUUGCUAUUACAUUUUGUGGUUAAAUCAAAUUGGUUGUCUAAACCAUGCUAUGUGUUUCGUAACCCUAUGUAUUUCUUAUUUGUAUCAGUGGAGUUUAUAUUUUUGUUUUGUCAAAUUUGAUUUCCUCUCAUUCUAAUUUGAUGGAUAUUUUAGAAUUUGAGAAGGUGGUUGUGGUUUCAUGCGAUCGCCGUUAUGCAGCUCAGACCUUCACGAUUCACCACUGUCACCCCAUCACUGCCGUCGUGACCAUCGCCGCCACAUCACUGCUGUUGAAAACACUAGGUAAUUUGUGAAUUAGGGUUUUUUUUAUUAUGUGAACAUCGCGGUUGAAAACACUAGGUAAUUUGUGAAUUAGUGUUUUUUUUAUUAUGUGAAUUUCUGGUUUAUGGAUUUAGGGUUUUUGAGUUAGUUUUUGUGAAGGUCAUUGUUUGAUUUUAGGCACACUAUAAUCGAUUACAAGUUUUCAGAUCCUAAACACUUUGAUAGGGUUUCCAGAAAAGACAUCUUUCCAAAGGCGCGUAGUGACACUGUCGAUUUCGUCAACCAAUCUUCACUGGAAGUUUCUCUGUCAUCCUAUAUAUUGCAGCAUUAACACAUUUGAUGAGAAAUUUUCAGUUUCUGGUCACUUAAGAUGGCAGGAAAAUGGACACAAUAAAUUAUCCAAGGUCUUUAUCAUGCUAGAUGAGAAUUGGAAAGUGCCUGAAAUUAUUGCCUGAAAAGUUAUCUGAAAAUAAUGGAAUAAAAGAUUAGUUUAUAGGUGUAUGCACUUAAUAUUGGAUAUAUGGUAUUUUUCAGGUUAUUUGACAUACAAUUGCAUAUAAUCUCAAUUUUCUCUUGCAAUUUUUGUCUGAGCUUCGGAAUCGUUGAAAAAUUUGUCUAAAUAAUAAAUUAAUUGAAAUGGCUAUUAGUAAUGAAUGAGGUAUUUACUGUGUUUUUUUGGUGUGUACAGAGCCAAUGGUAUGUUGCUAACGAAGGCAAAAACAAUAUGCAGUUUGCUGCAUAUAGAAAACGGACUUGGAUUCUCUACCCUCCCAUUUAGGUGCCCUUCCCGUGCCCUCCUGUUUUGUGUGGUCACGUUUAAGCCAUGUCAAUAUUUUAUAUUAUUUUUUUAUAAAAAUAAUAAAAUAAAAAUAAAUAAUAAUAUAUAAUGUUGACGUGGUUUAACCGUGACCACAAAAACAUGAGGGCACGAGGAGAGUACAGAAAUUGGAGGGCAGACAAUCCAAGUCCAUAGAAAACGGAGGUUAGUUUGGUUCCAACUUCUUUUUUUAGUUUAUUUGAAUAAAAAAUUGGUAAGUUCGAGUCCAAUUUGAUUAUUUCUUGCUUUCCUGCUGCCUGUCUGCUCUCCCCCUUUCCUGCUGCCAUCCAUUGCCUUGAACAAAAACAAAAAACAAAAAAAAAAAAAAAAAAAAAAACCCAUUUGCCAAAUCCACAAAGCCAUAAAAAAAGACAAGUAGAAUUUUAUAUUCUCUACCCACUUUUUUUCAUGAUUGCUGUUGCCUUCUUUUUUUAGAAAGGAAAAGUCUGGCUCUCCUUGGACAAUACCAUCUUUCUCAAAACAUGGAUUCGGAAAGACAUUUGAUAGAAUUUAUUUUGAGUCCAAAUUAUUAAAUUAGGAGAGCUAAGAAGAUAUUAAUAGGGGUGAUAUCCACACAUCUAUUUUUACUUCUCACACAUCCUUUGAUAAUUUAUGUCCGUUGAUUUUCUUCAAUUCAUCCGAUCCGACGGCCGAAAAUUAAAAAGGUGAGCAGUAAAAUGGGGUGUGUGGAUAUCACAUCCCUAUCCACACACCCCUAUUAAUAACUCUGGUUAUCUCUUUUGGCUACCACCUUGCUCUCCAUUUCUCUUUUUCCUCCUGAUCUGCUGCUUUUUUAGUGUUACAACCUCUCUGCAAAAAACACACUCUAUGUGUUUUGCAUGUUUUUGUUCAUGCUUCUAUUCUUUGUUGUUGUGGUGGUGACUCUGUGAAUGAAAUUCUCAGUUAUCUAUUCCUCUACAAUACAUGAGACAUCUGAUUUUUGUUCAUUGACAGAUGAUGCCACAUGCUUGAGAUUUUUAUGCCAUCACUAUGUUGGUUCGUCUGUGAUUGUUAUUGUUUGUUUUAGAAUGUGUAUGCUAUGUGUCAUGCAUAGAUUAGAGCAGAGAUCCAUGAUUUAAAUUCAACAUAAUCCUCACAUCAAACUUAGUUAAGUUCGAUGUUGUUUUUUGAAACUUAGUAUGCUGUUACCAAUAACGUUAAGUUUAAAUCAUUUUAUCAUAACAUUAUGUACUUAAAUUUAACUACUAAUGUUAAGUAAUAAACUGACGUAACAAAACAAUAUUACAAGAAUCUUCAUUAACGUAAUUAAUAAACCAAUCAAUAUUUCAUAAUUUUUUGUAAGUGUAUUAAUAUCGAUCCAAAGCCGCAUGGCAUACCUGUGUGGUCAAAUCUUUUGAUAUAACAAUCUACUCAACGUUUCCAAUGUAAAUAGCAUUAAUCUUUAGUACAUUAAUUCAAAUAAAAUUGUGGCUCAAGGGAACAGUCAAUGAUCCACAUGGCAUCAAAGUAUUUUACUAAAGUUUAUAUUACACGUGUGUAUUGCAUUAUGUGUGUGCGAAUACCUUUUUUUCACUGUCAGUCUAUAUUAGUUUUGAUUUCUGAGUUGAUUUAACAAACAUGUUUCUUUUUAUUGCAGAUUAAUUUGGUUCUCGCUAAAUGAAUCAAAGAUCAUAGGACUAGAACCAGUGGUUUCCAAAAAAGGUUGGUUCUUGAAUAGUUUAUGUUGUACCGUAUAUUUGGUCUCAGUAUUUGGGCUUCAUUACUUAGCCCAUGAUUCAAGUAAGAGGGGAGGAAACCCUUAUUUUAUAAAAGGGCUCCCUCAUACUGGACGAGAGGGGGGAAACAGACAGAGGGAAAACGGGAGAGCAAACAAAAUAGCAAAGAAAGCAAACACUGCCUCUAUAGCCUCCAUGUAUAUUCAACAUUCAUUUACAUAGUGAAACGAAAUCAACACUAGUGUGGAUGUACCUCAACUUGAGGUGAACCACGAUAUAUCUUCGUGUUCUUGUGCGUUUGUGUGAUUCACGGUCGGAUUUACGUUGGUCCAAGAUUGAUCCGAUUUUGUGCAUCAAUAUUUGGCGCCGUCUCUAGGAAUCGACAUGAAAGCUAUGUUGGUUCUCUCUACUUUUACAUCUCACUAUCGUGAAACCCUCACAACCUCCACCGUGAAUCUUCAGAAACCCAAGAACCAAACACCUGCAGAGUCACUGCAAAACCCAUGUCUUCCGCUCCAGCUCUCAGUCACGAUAGCAGCGAUGGAAACACGACAGAAACUCGCUCUCUUCUCUCUCAUGGUCUCACCCGGGAUUACAGCACGAGGUCGAUCUCCGCCGUCGAGCAGGCCAAGACAAGUUUAAGAACCAGAAGCUCUUCAUUUGGUUUCCUGUGAAAGGGAUCAGAGUCAAUGUACCAAGUUCCAACUUCAUUUACUUUGAUGUCGACGUCGUCGACCAGCAGUUCCCUUCGUCUACUCGAAACGUCACUACCACGAGUGGAAUCGGGGGACUCGAACUGUCAUCACCACUCAACUUAGAGACGCCAGCGCUGAAAACUGGCCGGAGGCAUUUCUCUGAAACUACCGCAUAACCACUGCUUGGAAAACCCACAAAGAAGCUAAGUCUUCUUCUAAUUCACCAACUUGUUUAUUAUUUAAUAUUUUAUUAUUAUGUUUGUUACAUGAGUGCGGCACUAACUUGCUCUAAUAUAUACAUACAUAUAUAUAUAUAUAUAUAUAUAUAUAUAUAGUUCUCUGCAUUUUCCUCUUUCAAAAUUACAAGCACAUUGCAAGUUUUCAAAGACAAACUGUAUCCACCCAAUUCCAUCUGCCAAAAGAUAAGUUUGAGAACCAUGAGCUCUUCCUCUGGUUUCCUGUGAAGGGGAUCAGAGUUAAUGUACCAAGCUCUGACUUCAUUUACCUUAAUGUCGGCGUCGUCGACAAGCAAUUCCCUUCAUCUACUCGAAACGUCACUACCACCAGUAGAAUCGAGGGACUCGAACUGUCAUCACCACUAAACCUAGAGACGCCAGCGUUGAAAAUUGGUCGGAGGCAUUUCUCUGAAACUGCCGCAUAACCACUGCUUGAAAAACCCACAGAGAAGCUAAGUCUUCUUCUAAUUCACCAACUUGUUUAUUAUUUAAUAUUUUAUUAUUAUGUUUGUUACAUGAGUGAGGCACUAACUUUCACUAAUAUAUAUAUGGCUCUGCAUUAUUCUCUGUCAAAAUUAUAAGCACAAUGCAAGUUUUCAAAGACAAAUUGUAUCCACCCAAGUCCAUCUGUCAAAAGAAAAAAAACACAUUUACUUUUCCUUUUCAGCAAACGUUAUUAUGUUUCUCAAUAUCAUCUAUUUAAUAUUUUAUUAUUAUUAUUUUAUGAUAUUUGUUACAAGGUGUGCCACCUCCUUUUAAAAUAACAUAGCUUUAAUCAUUUUUGAAUAUUAUAUUCAUUAUUUAAAUGUUGGAAUGAACUUUAAUGACUUAGAGCACACUACACAAUGCAAGUAUACAGAUUUAUAUUUAUUUAAAUAUUUUAUUAUGAUAAUACUCUUUUGUCGUAUCAUUACUACUAUGCCAACACAGGCUGCUAAUACCACAUACCUUGUGCGUCCAUGCUUGUCAUCAUAAUACGACUUUAUCAUGAUUAUUCCCAAGUAGGAAGUCUGAUACAUCACAUAUUUUCACUUUUCAUUAUUAGGGCAUAGUCCGCAUUCCAUAAUACAAAGUUACAUAUAUAUACACAUAUACUUUAUCCCUAUAGUCAUCAUGUAUAAAAUUAUUAUACUCAGAUUGUUUUCCAUUAUUUUUCACUAGUGACAUAUAUUUAGCCCAAGUACUUAUGCAAUAUUUAUUCACUACCUAGUGUCAUGUGAUUGCCCUUAAUAAGGGCAUAUAUGAUACAAAUCAUUUACCACAUAACUUAAUAAAUUAUUUUUGUAGUAGGCACAAACUGGUAAUUUGAUUUAUAACUUUGACAAUUGAUUUAUUAAUUAUGCAUUCAUGCUUAUACUAUUAUUUAUUGUCAGUAAUGAUUGAGCAACUAGCUCUAUCGAUCAACAUUGUUGUUGAUUAAAAAAGCCUACUGACACUAUUGAUCAGGCUAUAGAUCAUUGAGCCACAUGCUUAUGGUGACAAAGAUUUAGUCUGACUGGUGAUCUCUUGUCUGACCGGACACCCACUUGCUCAGACACUUGCUCAUUUGGAUACCUAUGUGCUUGGACACCCGCGAGCUUGGACACCAAUUCGUUCGGGCACUUACGAUAUUAGACACUCUUGAGCUCGAAUCCCGACUCACGGACCCAAUUUGUGGACUCAACUCACGAACCCAAUUUGUGGACCCAACUCACGGACCUUACAGAUGGCCCUGACUUAAAGACCCGACUUGUGGACCUAAGAGUUGAGUCAUAAUGAGCGCACGCUGACGUCGAGUGCAUACUCACAAUGAGGAACGCCACGAGCCGAGCCGCCUUGCAACAAGCACUGCCUCCAGCCGUGCAACCACCUCGCCGCGAGCAUUGCCUCUAGCCAAGCAGCUUCGCAACGUGUGAUACCUCUAGCUGAAUAUUACUUUACGUUGAGCAUUGCCUCAUGUUGAGUACUGGUUCAGGACAACAUCUAGUCAUUUCGGCCUACACAUGGUUUGGUUUUGAAGUCUCCAGCCAAAAGAUUCACCCGACACAUAGACCCAUAUACGAACCCAACAAGCGGAUCUGAGUCAUGUCGAGAAUUAACUCAUAAUGAGCUCACGCUGACGUCAAGUGCAUACUCAUAAUGAAGAACGCUACAAGUCGAACCACCUCAUAAUGAGCACCGCCUCUGGCAAAGUAACCGCCUCGUUGCGAGCAUUGCCUCUAGCUGAGCUGCCUCACAACGUGUGCUACCUCUAGCUGAGUAUUGCUCCAUGUUAAGCAACGUCUCAUGUCAAGUAUUAGUUCUGGACAUCUAGUCACUUCAGCUUGCAUAUGGAUUGGAUUUGAAGCCUCCAGCCAAAAGACUAUUUUGACUGAAGACUUAGGGGACUUCUGUUGUACUAUAUAUUGGGCCUCAGUAUUUGGGCUUCAUUACUUAGCCCAUGAUUCAUGUAAGAGGGGAGGAAACCCUUAUUCUAUAAAAGGGCUCCCUCAGACUGGACAAGCGGGGAAAUAGACAGGGAAAACAGGAGAGCAAACACUGCCUUUAUAGCCUUCAUGUAUAUUCAACAUUAAUUUACAUAGUGAAACGGAAUUAACACCAGUGUGGACGUAGCCUUAACUUGAGGUGAACCAGGAUAUAUCUUUGUGUUCUUAUGCGUUUGUUUUCCAGCUCGUUGCAAGGUGGCUUGGCUCGUGGCGUUCCUUGUUGCGAGUAUGCACUCGACGUCAGCGUGCGCUCAUUAUGAGUUAACUCUUGGGUCCACAAGUCGGGUUUUUGAGUCGGUGUCAUUUGUAGGGUCCGUGAGCUGGGUCCACAAAUUGGGUUCGUGAGUCGGGGUUCGAGCUCAAGGGUGUCCAAUCUCGUAAGUGUCCGAUCGAAUGGGUGUCUAAGCACAUAUGUGUCCAAAUGAGCAGGUGUCCGAGCAAGUGGGUGUUUAAUCAGACAAGAGAUCAUCGUUCGGACUAAAUCUUUGUCACCAUAAGCAUGUGGCUCGGUGAUCUAUAGGCUGAUCAAUAGUGUCGGUAGGCUUCUUUAAUCAACAACAAUGUUGAUUGUUAUAGCUAGUUGCUCAAUAAUUCAUGACAAUAAAUACAUUAAUGCAUAAUUAAUAAAUCAAUCAACAAAGUUAUAAAUCAAAUUGCCAAUUUAUGCCUACUACACAUAAAUAAUUUAUUAAGAUGUGUGGUAAAUGAUUUGUAUCAUAUAUGACAUUGUUAAGGGCAAUCACAUGACACUAGGUAGUGAAUAAAUAUUGCACAAGUACUUGGGCUAAAUAUAUGUCACUAGUGAAAAGUAAUGGAAAACAAUAUGAGUAUAAUAGUCUUACACAUGAUGACUAUAGGGAUAAAGUGUCACAUCCCGGCCCGGGAGCACGCCUUGAUUCUUGAUUCUUGGAUCGGGGCGUGUCAUAAAGUAUGUGUAUAUAUAUGUAACUUUGUAUUAUGGAGUGUGGACCGUGCCCUAAUAAUGAAAAGUGAAAAUAUGUGAUGUAUUAGACUUCCUACUUGGGGAAUAAUCAUGAUAGAGUCGUAUUAUGAUGACAAGCAUGGACGCACAUGGUAUGUGGUAUUAGCAGCCUGUGUUGGCAUAGUAGUAAUGAUGCGACAAAAGAUUAUCAUCAUAAUAAAAUCUUUAAAUAAACAUAAAUCUGUAUACUUGCAUUGUGUAGUGUGCCAUGAGUCACUAUGUUAUUUUAAAAGGAGGUGGUCGACAUCUUGUAACAAAUAUCAUAAAAUAAUAAUAAUAAAAUAUUAAAUAGAUGAUAUUGAGAAACAUAAUGAUGUUUGUUGAAAAGGAAAAAGUAAAGGUGAUUUUUUUUUCUUUUGGCAGAUGGAAUUGGGUGGAUACAGUUUGUUUUUAAAAACUUGCAGUGUGUUUGUAAUUUUGGCAGAGGAGAAUGUAGAGAGCUAUAUAUAUUAGUAAAAGUUAGUGUCGCAUUCAUGUAACUAAUAAAAUAAUAAACAAGUUGGUGAAUUAGAAGUAGACUUAGCUUCUUCGUGGGUUUUCCAAGCAGUGGUUAUGCGGCAGUUUCAGAGAAAUGCCUUUAGCCAGUUUUCAACGCUGGCGUCUCUAGGUUGAGUGGUGAUGACAGUUCGAGUCCCCCAAUUUCACUGGUAGCGGCGUUUCGAGUAAACAAAGGGAAUUGCUCGUCGACGACGCUGACAUCGAAGUAAAUGAAGCUGGAGCUUGGUACAUUCGACUCUGAUCCCCUUCACAGGAAACUAGAGGAAGAGCUCCUAGUUCUCAAACUUGUCUUGGCCUGCUCGACGACGGAGAUCGGCCUCGUGCUGUGAUCCCAGGUGAGACCAUGAGAGAGAGAAGAGAGCGAGUUUCUGUCGUGUUUCCAUUGCUACUGUCGUGAUUAGGAGCUGGAGCGGAAGACAUGAGUUUUGCAGUGACUCUGUAGGUGUUUGGUUCUUGGGUUUUUGCAGAUUCACAGUGGAGGUUGUGAGGGUUUUACGGUGGUGAGAUGUAAAAGUAGAGAGAACCGACAUAGCUUUUCGUGUCAAUUCCCACAGACAGUGCCAAAUGUUGAUGGACAAAAUCGAGUCGAUCUUGAACCAACGUAAACCCGACCCAAUUUUGUGCAUCAACAUUUUCAUUUAUGCUUUUUCAGUUCUUUGAAUGGACUUCCUAUAAUCCAAAAUGAGCUAAUGAACAACUCUUUUGCUACAUUGUGUUUUCAAAUCAAUAUUUAGGCUAAUAAUUGAAGGCUGAUUCUUUUUUUUUUUUUGAAAAAUGUAAUCUAGAUUCUUAAACUGUGGCGAUUAAUGUGGUUUUUAGGUAAAUUUUCCGAGUGGGGGAGAAGGGGUGGGUGGGCGCCCCUCAAUUGGUAAAUAAAUAUUUAAAUGUGCAAAACAUGGAUAUCAUGGAAGAAUUCAAAUGUUUUUCCUGCACUAGGUUGGAGAGCAUGAUCAUUUUCUGUUUGCACAUCACAAAGUUUGUUUUGAGUACUUCUCACGCCAUUGAGGCACAAAUGUUCUUCCUGCAUUAGUUAAUUUUCUUUAUAUCAAAAUUUAAUAAAUUCAAUUUUCCUUUGUAUCCAAAUGUAUUAAAGUAAUUGUGAUUGAGGUUUGUUUAUGUCUACUUUCCAAGAUUUAUUUUUUGUUUACAUGUCUCACUUUGUUUAUGAAUGCCUUUUGGUUAACUGAAAGAAUGCUUUUCAUUCUCGAUUUUCAGGACUUUAUCUACCUUUUACAAGUCAACUCCACAAUACCAAAGUACAAGAGAAGCAAAGAUUUGAGGUGAUUUUUGCUCUUAACUUAUUUAGAUUUUAUAUUCUGGGUUAAUUAUCAACCGGAUUCUAUUACUAGAUUUAGAAUUGUAAUUUGGUACCAUUGCUGCCUCCUGCCUCUUCGGUUUUCACAUCAUAAUGCCACAAAAUGCUAAUUUUAAAUUCUAGGUUAUGGGUAAGAAUUAGUAUUUGGAGGCACAAAUUCUUUUCAGCCGCUAGACCAAGUUCUAAAUCUUUUUUCGUGUAGUUUACAUUAGGCUAUUCAAGCCCUAUUUUAAAUGUAUGAUUGGUUUGCGUGAAAUGAAUGAAAAAGAGAGUUAGAAUACCCUGUGAGAUAAUCGAUUCCAGAAACCAUUUUAAAUAAAAUGUAUCAAAAGUGUUGAACGGAGAGUGAAAAGAUUCUUUGCAUGGAAAACAUAUUUAACUUUGUUUUCUUUACUCAAAGUGCUCUUAUUUAAUUUGGUUCUGUUUCGGUUGCGUAGUUCAUGGUUCGCAGCGACGAAGAAUCGUUUCCUAAGAAAUAUAUUGAGCUAAGUUCUUUUUGGUAGGAAAUGAGGGUUGUUGAUGUUAGCAAUGGAUUGAGUCUUUCUAUUUGGUAUGAUUAUAUCUCUGAACAAGCAUUAAUAAAUAGAACGAUUUCGAUCAAUAAUUUUAUUCAGUCAAGAUUCAAACUUCCAUUGUAGAGCAAACUAUAACUCAAACUCCCAUUGCAGAUCAAACUAUAAGUCAAACUCCCAUUCUAGAGCAAACUAUGAGUCAAACCCCCAUUUCAGGGCAAAUUGGGAACGAGGAGAAGCAGUAGGGCAUGGCUAUUUCCGGGGCAUCGGUUGUUUUGAGAUUCUGGUGUAAUUAGGUUUGAAAAUUCUGCUCCUUUGCUUUUUGAUUUGUAUACAUCUCAAAUUUCUCUUAAUUGCUAAUGGAUUUAUUUUCUUUGGAAAUUUCAGAAAGUCGGGUUGUGGGAGGACCAAGCUGGUUUGUUGUCAUUUUUAGGUAUAUAAUCAUCUGCCCUGAUAGCAUAUUCAAAGCCUAUUUAGUUAUAUGGAUUUUUUAUUUAUCUUUCUAAAGCUUUUGUGCCUGGAUUUUAACUAUGUGAUUGGUAAUUAUUGGUAAUUACUUAGCACGAUAAUUGUCAAGCAUAUGAUCGUUAUUCAUGAAUACAAAACCUUCAUUCACAAAUCACAAGUAUAUGAUGAGCUAUUUAGAAAUUCGGCAUUUUCAUCAUCCAAUUCAAUAGCAUUUGGGAUACUAUGCUAGAAUUCUAUUACAGCUCCAGUUAAGAGAUGUGAAGCAUGAAGAAUAUCUCUUUAGGAAGUGUUAGCUACUUUGGUUAAUUGGUCAAUGAAAUUAGCCAUUUUUGUCAUUUAGAUUGGAUAACCUAGGAAGAAUGUUAGAAUGAUUGAUCACAUUCGUUAGCCCUAUGUUUUUUUAUUGCAUAAUGAUAGAAUUGAUGCACCAUUUAGUCAUAGUAAUUGAUGUAAUAAGUACGUAUCAAUUCACUUAUCUAUCCCUCUCUUCAUUAAGGUAAAAUGUAUCUUAUUCAUGCAGUUCAAAGUGAUGCAUUCAAGUCCCACAACAACGUACGGGCACACAUUUUCUAGUUCGAACUAAAUUAACAAAUUGAGUAAUCGGAAUUGGACAGCAAAGUAAUCGUGAUUGUUCGUGGAUUAACAUAACACGACGACAAACUGGUAAUCAUAAAGAAAGAUAUAAUCAUAAUAAGUGAAACCAGUUAGGUGGUGGGUUCAUGUUUGUUGUACUAAGAUAUUAUCGAGAUUUACAUGUUUAUCGUAACAGAGAUAUAAUUUGAACAACUAAUAAAACAAUUCGUAGUUCUUGGUUCCUCUAAACUGUUUGUAGUAAUUUGUAAGAAGUAGAAUUAAGUCCCUACUGAAAAACGGAAGGAAAAACACUUCAAUUAGCAGAAAGUAGCAUAGAUUUUUAGUUUAAAUGACGAUUUGUAACUUUUAUCGGCGAUUUACAAUGUUUUACGACGUCCCUAUAUUUAAUGACCAUUUUAGGGUUUCCUACGUUUUCCGAAGAUCUUUAGCGACAAUGUUUUUUGCUGCUAACCUCCACAACAAAAGGUAUUUGCUAUAGAUAUGCCACAACAAACUAUCAUAUUUAUAUUUUUCAAAAUAUAUUUUUUCGUGCAAAAUUUAUUAUAAUUCAUAUUCAAACACUUGUAAUCAACAAUUUAAAAGCUAAAUUUAAAGAUAUUUGAACCUUUUUUUUUUUGUUAAUUCUUCUUUUAUCAAAAUCCAAAUUACAUAUUAAUAGAAUAUUCUUUAUCAACUAAAAGAGGGUGAAAGGCUAUUUAACAAAACAAAAUUCACAAAUAAUGCUCAAACUACAAAUAAAACAAAAUCUAUUAUAACUGGCAUGGUGAACGGCUUUUUGAAGCCCCACACUCUCACGACUUGUACAAGUACAAAAGAAUAUCAUUAAACCGUAUUUCUAUCUAAUAAGGAAGUACUUGGUUGUGUAUAGUACGUCUUUACUUGAGAAAACUAAAGACGUAUGAUUAAUUUUUGUUUCUCCAACAAGGAGUAUCCAUGACAAAAAUUCACUAAAUCAAUAAUUGUUUAGCUGUUAACCACCACGGGAUGGCCCAGUGAUUCGGGAAGAAUUUCAAAGUUGUAUUCCACACGAUAGAGCAUGAGGUUGAUUCCCGGCACUGAUUAAUAACACAAUGUUGAUCAGAAAAAGACUAAAAUAUCUCUAUGAAUUUUUUCAACCCUAAAAAAGGAGACUGCCAAAACUACCAACUGAUCCCUUUUUAAAGCAAGGACACCCUAAGCCUUUCUUUAAAAAAAAACAAAACAAAAGCAAAAAAGAACACCCUUAACAUUGAAAACCUCAACCCCAAUGUAUAGUCAAUUCACAAACUAAACCCAUUUUUUGUAUUUUAUUUGGGAUGUGAUAUCCACACACCAUUUUUUACUUCUCUCACACCCUUUUAAUUGUCGGCCGUUGGAUCGGAUGAAUUGAAGAAGAUCAAAUGAUAGAAAUUAACAAGGGGUGUGAGAAAAGUAAAAAAGGAUGUGUGAAUAGCACACCCCUUUUAUUUAUGUUAGUCUCUGACCCUGAAUUAAUGACUAGGAAAGGCCAAACGAACCCUAAUAGUCAGAAACUGACCAACAAUUUAGUGGAAUCAAAUCCAUUGACUUCUAUUAAAACAAAAAGAUCCAUAUCUUAUCUUUUACGUGUCUUACACUCUUAGGGCCAUAAACAAUGUAAUGUGCAAUUGACGAAAGAAAAAUCACGUGCAGACAUUCUUUUUGACCAAACAAAGAAUCUCAACCCCUUUCUAGAGAUUUCAUAGUCAUAUUAUAUUUUUAGGGAAUUUUAACGAAAAACUCGUUCACUUUAACGAAAAAUCAUAUUUUUCCAUUAAAAAGUCAAACCUAGUACUAUUUAUUUUACCCUUUAUUUUGUCAUUAUCAUUAAAACUCAAAAUUUUCGAACCCUUUUAAUUAGUUUUCUUCAUAUUUUAUCAUCAACUAGAACAUGCAAUAGAAAUGCUCAUAAACUUAGUACAGUGUUUUAGUUUACUUCUUCAACCUCUUCAAUCUAUAAAACUAAAAAGAGUUUUAGUUUUUCACAUACUGGCUGUGGGAACAUAAAAUAUAUUGAUCAAUACGAAUACGUUCGGUAUACAACUUAUCAAAUAUGAUUACUCUGCACUUGACAAAAUAUGCGGCUUAUUAGUCAAAUCCUAAUGAGCUAAUGGGCCAUGUUUUCUACGAUGGUCCCAUAAGCUCACACUCAACAGGCCUCCGAGUUCAAUUCAUCACAGUUGAUCGCCAUGUGACAUAAGCAAAUCAUCCUGAUAUGUAAUGGGUUUGCUUAUCAAUAUCUUAGCAUGGCAAGACUUUCCAAAGCAUAUUUUAGGAAUCUCAUGGGAAUUUCAUCGAUGUGCAGACUAGGUAAUGCUAACAGGCUUAACGAACCUGGACGCUAGAGUUAACUCCUCAAUUUUCACCAUACUCUUAUUACUUCUUACAGUAUUUCGGACUACACCAAUGUUAAUCUAACUUCAUUUGUUUUAAUGUGGGUAGGUUUUUGUCAAUUCAAUUCGAAAUGGAAAUUUGAUUCCAUACUAUCAAAUCAAUCAUUUUUUUCUGUUCAAAUAAGGGUGAUGUUUGUUAAUUUAAGUGAAGAAUACUAACUGAACAUGAUAUAAAUUUGACAGUAGUGUAAAUUGACGAACUUUAAAAGGUUGCGUAAACUUGAAAAUCAAUCUGAAAGACGAAGACAAAAUGAAGAGUGGAUGUGAAUUGGAAGGAACAGUCCUCCUUCGAAAGGGAGAGGGGAAAUAUUGUGGCAAUUUUACUAUUUGUUUGGUCAAAAAAAAAAAAAAACAGUUAACAACAAACGAAAUUGAUAAGACAAAAAGUAAUUCUUUGACAAGCAAUAGAGGGCCAGUAUAGUCCAAGCCCGAAAGCUCUUUUUCUUCAUUUCUUGCAAUAAUAUAUUAGGGUUUAGAAACUACUAAUUAAACAAAUUUCAUUGUUAAGCAAUCUACUAGGCAUCAACACACACCCCAUCAUCACCACGUUUCCAACACCAACCACCAUGCAAGACAAGAUGCCAAGGGACAAGAGCAAAAGUAUCAAAUCCAUAAACCUAAUUUCGUUUGUUCUUGGUAAUCCAGCCUAUUAAGUAGUCUGAAGUAUAAAACAAUUUUCAUCAUUUGAUUUUUUAAAAUCAAUCUUCGUUGUUUAUUUUAUGAACUACUAAGUGGUCUCAGGCUAUUGAAAAAUAAAUAAAUAUGAACAUGCUUAUUUCUUACAAGUUAACAAGCAACAUGAAUGCCUCCACUGAGUUGCAUCAUAGACAUACAAUCUUUUUGCCAAUUACUAAUUCUAUUUUUUUUUAUUUCUUUCCUCCAUGUUAAAAAGUUAAUCAGUUACAAAGUGAAAUGUUCAUACAAUAUUUCUCGCAUAAUAAUCUUUUUUUAUCUUUUCCUAUCUUUCAUUUCUUCCAUUCAUCAUAAAAAGGGUAAUCAGCUACAAAGCGAAAUUGCACCAAUUUAUAUAAUUCUUCUAGGCUGCUAGAAAACUAGCACAAUAAAAUUUAUUAAGUUGUGAGGCGAGUUUCCACCUAUACUUACAUCGGUCUCCCACAAUAUCGAGUUGACAAUAAUAAAAAUAUAUAUUUUUGGUGUUAACAAGAACAAUAUGUUUUCGGCACAUUUGCAACCAUAGAAUCCAAAGAAACUAAACUACAAUCUAAUAAUCUCUUCUUUUUGGCACAUUUGAGAAAACGUUCCCAAAUUGUUUGCCUUUUCUUUUGCAAUGCACAACUACAAUCCUCAACCAAGAAAUGGAAUGCCACCCUCGCCAAGAAAUUGCAAUCAACUAGGCGGCAGUUCUUGCUAUGGCUUGGAGCCGGCGGCAGCUCCCUCUAGUUGCCUUUCAGUUAUGGCGACUUCACUAUCUCCCUUAAGCGCGAAUGCUCCGGAUCCAACUAGAGUGGCGAAUGGCGAUAGUGCAAAUUGAUUUGGUCAGAGUGUCCUCCACUAGAAUGAGCCGACCGGUGUUUCCCUUCUCGGAUGGUGUAGUUUUGUCGUCUUGCCCAGCGAGUGUUAUGGUCGUACUUUGGCAUUGAGAUUGGUGUUUCGUCUUUUUCAACAACUCGGAUGGUGUAAUUUUGUCGUCUCGCCCAUCGAGUGUUAUGGUCGCAUUUUGGCAUUGAGAAUGGUGUUUUGUCUUUUUCAACAAUCACUUCGCGUGGUCUCGCUCUUGUAAUAACUUUACACGGCUUCGUUGUUUGAUGAUGACUGUUGUGGUCAUCGUCGACGCAUAUUUUGCUGCGUCUGUCGUUCUUUGUGACCGAUUUCUAUGGGCAACAUUUAUAGUUUUGUGCGUGUGAUAGACGUAUAAUGGUUUACAGUAAUUGUGUGUAUUUAUGUAAAUUCAUUCCAAAUUAAUUUCAUGGACACUAGAGCAAUAUACCCAAUCGGCACCUCUGGAUUUGUUUGGAAAGAUCAAUGAAAUACACACUAUAAUUUCUAGUAAAAAAUUGGCCACAAGCCACAAAAAGGCAAAAUUCUAAAUGGUUCUUAUCAAUCAAUCUUUUUUGAAGCCAAUCUAACAUUCCAAAAUCCUUAAUAAAAUCUUACUUACAGACACCAAUUAACACUAAAAUAUAAUUAUCCUGAACAAAAAAGCAAAAAAGACAACACAAAAAUAAAGGAGACAGGACCAUCCCCCGCCAAUAAUUACACCGGCCACCGCCGCUGACGCCGUAUGCCACCACACAUCCAAACUCAGCAACGAGUCAUGACUCGACCUUGUCAACUCAGCAGCAAUUACAUUUUCCUGAAAUAAUAAUUUACACCCACUGAAGAAUACAAAAAAAACCCAUUUUCUGUAAUAAUGAAAAAAGAUAAAAUAAAUUAAAUUAAAUUAAAACGUAGUUGAGUUGGCUGUAUGCAAGUUCCUCCCAACUCGGUACCGAGUCGGACCGAGUCCAGCUCCUGCACCCGAGUCCAACACGGAGUCCAAAUUCGGCUCAUCCUCCCCCCCUCUCAUCACCAUCAACAGCCGCUUCGCCUUCUCUCUCGCCCGCUCGCUUCCAAUCUUCUCGAUCUCACUCAACACCUCCACCGCAUUGGCCUCCCUCGCCAGCCCGCGAAAUCUCAUCGAUCCGUGACUCAGCACGUAGAGCGCCGCCACGCAGUUCUCCCGAGUGGACUCGGAGUCCAAGUCUCCCCGCCUCCUCAGCAUCCCCACCAAGCACUGCACCGCGUUGGCAUCGAGCAUGGCGGAUCUGCCCUCGUUGCAGCUCGCUAGAUUGCACAGAAUCAGUAGAGCUCGGCCCGCCGACGCCGGAGACUUGGCCAAGGUCAACAGAGUCGGCACCGCGUUGUGUUGCUUAACGAGUCUGACUCGGUUGCUCUCCACCAGUGUCAAGUGAUAGAGCGUCAACGCCGAGUCGUGGCGCGUCCGCUCACUCUCCGCCCUCACGAGCGCGUGCAUCAGCGGUGGCAACGCGCCGAGCACGCCAAUCGCAAUCUUGUUGUCUUCCUCCAACGCCAAGCUGAAGAGCGCGCCGGCGGCGUGCUCCUGCGACUCACUGGAUCCUCCCUUCAAUACAUCCACCAAAUACGGGACGAAUCCUGACCGUACGAUCUUCACCUUGUUGGGCUUCUCCAGAGACAAGUUAACCAGCGAAGCGACGGCGUUUUGUUGCACGGUGCUGUAUCGCGACACAAUCAGCGACAGGACGGCGGAGAGUAGCCGGGGAGUGCAGAGCGAAAUCCUAAGCUCCUCCUUCGUCCUCGUGAGCUUCCGGAGUAAAAUUACUCCUUCCUCCUGGUCGAUUACCUCGGGGCUUCUCAGCUUCGUCAUCAAUUGAUCUUCCUCCUUGCAUUCCGGAGACGAGGAAUUAGGGUUUAAUGUUUCGAGCUCGGCGGUGAUUUCGGAAGAAGACGCCGAGGAAUAACACGACGGCCGAGUCGCGAACGGGAGAGGAAUAGGUGGACUCGCCGACGGGAUGACCACUGACUCCUCCGACGAGCUCGAGUAGAAAUGGUCGACUCGGCGGCCCAACUCGGUCGCCGCGUGCAAGAACCUAACCGGCGGUUUCUCCGCCAUCCCCCUCAGCAGCUCCCGCUCCGAAACUCUAAUUCCAGGGUCUUCCCUAUCCUCCUCCAUCACCGCCCGUAUGGCCUUAUCGAGGGAGAUUGAAUCGGGUGCCUGCGGGUACUGGGCGUUGUUGUGGUCGCACCAGUUCCGGAUGGUGGACUUGAUGGCUAAAUUGGGAAUCAUGGUGGAGAAAUCGGGUCGGGUCCCGUCUUCGAGCUUGGGAGAGAAGCUCAAUUCGCGGCAUAGUUGGACGGAGAGGCGCUCGAAGGUCUGACCCGAAGAGACGACGACAGGGUCGGACAUUAAGGACCCGGAAAUGGGGCACAACAGCUCCUUCGGGGGAUUCUUGGAGCUGGAAUUGGAGCGGUAGAAGGUGAUCUUCCACCUGUGCUUGCCAUUACCGCCCAUACUCAAGGAGGAGACUGCGGUGGCGGGGGCGGCAGAGCUAUCAGUUUCAAGAAUUUUGGGUCGAUCGGUUUUUGAGGGAUUGGGUUGUGGCGGUGGUGGACAUGAGUAGGCUUAAUUAAGGUACUUUUUUUCUAGAAGUUUUGGGUCUUGUUUAGUGUUUGACUUCUGUGAAGGAUUGACCUAAUCUUGGUCUAUAAGCUGCGUGAGCUGUUUGUUUGACCAGUCAUGGCAACACUUUCUGGGGCAAAAGUAAAACUACUUCGUUUUUGUUUAUUAUUUUUGGAGUGAGGAAAAUGUAAAAAUUUCUGUGGUUUUCUUGUGUAUUUUUUUAUAUUUUAAAAUAAAUGGUAUUAUUUACUUUAAAAGGGUGAGUGAGAAUCGAACCUUUCAAUAGCGUGGUUCAAUUCAUUUUUGAAGAGAAUCGAACAUUUCUUGUGUAAGGAAAAUGUGAAAAUAACUGGUGUUUGGUUCAAUUCCUUUUUGAAGAGAAUCGAAUAUUUCUUGUGUAAGGAAAAUGUGAAAAUAACUGGGGUUUUCUUAUGUAUUGUGUGUUGUUUUUUAAGAAUGCGUUUUGGUAUUGUAGUCAAAUUUAACAGAGUAGUGUGUUUUACGUUUUUAUUUUUUUUAUCACAGUUCGAAUUUUCUCUUUAUAAUUUCAAUUUACAUGGCUAGCAUAAUAGCAUUUUUUCUGUUCUCAUCUUAAGUUUUGUUCUUUAAAUUAUUGUUGCAACCUUUUUAUUCUGAUUUUCUUUUUCUACAUUCUCAUUCCUUUCAUGAUUUAUUAAUGUUUUUUUAUGAUUGAAGUCGUCUAUUUUCAACAUCUCUCUUAUAGAUCAACUCCAUUCAAAUUAAACCCUAAAUAAAAAAAUUAUUUAACCGUUUAAUUAAUAUUGUCGGAAUUUUAGUGUUUAAUUGAAAAAAAAAAUGUCUCAUUAGAUGCAUAAACGAUUUUGAAUUUAGUUAUUUUUUUUUUUUGCAAAAUGGUCUUUAAAUAGUGAUGUAGAUGACAAAUAGUUCUGAUCAUCAUCGUAUAAGAUUGCAUGAUCAAAAGCUCGAAAUGAGAAGGUAAUUGCUUGCAUACAGCAUACCUAUACUUAUUUAAUGGUUGAACUUAACUCGCUUGUAGCUUAAGAAUAUUUACCUUCACAUCUAGCUUCUUAAGUUUGGUUCCAAAAAAGUUAGUUUUGAGAUUAAGCAAUACAAUUUUUAAGUUAUAUUUAAAAUUUAAUCUAAUUGGUAUCAUAUUGAUGAGUGGAUUAGAAAAUGGGAAUUUUAACGAAAAGCUUCCGGUACUGUUCACUUUAACGAAAAACCAUAUUUUUACACUAAAAAGUCAAUCCUGGUACUAUUCACUUUACCUUUUAUCCUUAUCAUUAAAACUCAAAAUUUUCAAUCAUUUUUCAUUAGUUUUCCUUUAGAAAAUAGGAUAAAGGACACCAAUUUAGUUUAAUAUUAGAAUGUUAAACCUACUACUUCUGUAGACCAAUGGAACAACAAUAUAGUUCUGUUAAACAGUCUUAUUCAAGGGAGAUUUCAACAUAUAAAGAGUUAGAAUAGAUGGAAAUCUGGUCAAGAAGUUGAAGUUGGAUAAUUCAUCUCCUUGAUUAAAGAUUAACAUUAAACAAAUAUGCAAUUAAAAUUACAUGGUUUUGGGGUUUGCCAUGCUGAAAUUUGUAUCGCUUUAGAGCAUCUUCAGUAGAGUAGAUAAAUGGGUAGUCAAAUUCAUUUUGAGAAGCCAUGUUAGCAAAAACACGCUCCAAUUGUGUAAUCCAUUGAGUAGACUACUUUUUGAGAGUGAAAUCUAAUCAGACUCUCAAAAGUGAGCCUCUUUGACAUUUCAUAUUUUUGCACAUUGUUAGCAUUAAACUAUAACGUGUCAAGAAAUCUGUAGGGCCUCAUUUUAAAAGUCCUCAUUAGCAUUUCCAUCUUAGAUAAACAGAAUGACAGUUGUCAUACUAAAAAAUUCCAAGAAGAGUGUAUUUCAACUACUAACCAUACGUAUGCGAAGCUUACGAAAUCAUAGAGAGAUUGUCUGAGAGCCUGGAGUUUGAAAGAGUCUUUGUCACGGACUCUCACAUGCCAGAGUUAGUGGCUUCAAUGAUCACUUUAGGUUUUUGAAUUAUGAUUGAGAACUUAGGUUAACUGUAAGUCGGCAAAUUUUUGCAGAGCCUACCAAACCUUGCAAACCAGAGCUGCAUUAAGUCAGGCAACUUGCAUGUGUAGAGCUAUAGUAGAGAACCGUCUUAAAUUUCUGGCCCCGGCUUUUCUGCCCUUCUAUUUUCCAUACUCUCAUUUUCUCCAAUUUUGUGCGGUCCCGCCAUGUUAACAUUUUAUACUGAUUUUUUUACAGAAAUAAUAAGACAAAAAAUAAUAGUAAUAUAAAAUAUUGACGUGGUUUAACCGUAACCGUACAAAUAGAAGGAGAUAGAAGUGUAUGAGAAGUGGGAAGGCAGAGAAGCUAGGUAAGGGAUUUCGUUCCAUCAUUCAUGGAGCGGGAUAUUCAAUAUGUCAUCCAAACUAUUCUUAUUAUAGACAAUUGUCGAUGAGGUGUUGAUAUGGACGUCCAUGUGUUCUCUCGACAUGGUGGGAUAUGGCAUCAAUAAGGUGUUGGUAACGUUUCAAUAUGGGAGGAGGAUUAUCUUCUCUUCUAAUCUCAUUCUCUCUCCUCCUAUUUGAACGAUUACGAUUUAGCCACGUCAACAUCUUAUAUUGAUUUUUUUUAUAGAGACAAUAAGAUAAAAACAAUAAAUGUGAGGAGAGGAGGGAAAGGGAUGAAAAUAGGAGGGAAGAAAAUUUUACUCCUUUAAUAUGUUGUCAGUAUAACUAUUGAUAUGUUGUCCAUAAUCCCGCUCUGUGAACAGUUGGAGCAGUCCUUUGUGUGUAUAUAUUAAGAAAAUGGGGGGUUUUUUUUUGUCAACUGUUAAGCAGAUAGUUGAACAUGCCCAUAACUUGAAUCAAUUAAUACUAUAUUUCGGUGUCUGAAGCUCUGAGCUGGUAGAUUUGGGAGAUAAGUGAAGAUCAUUCAACUACAAUUAGAUGGUAAUUAAGAAACAAUAAACAAAGUUUUAGUUAACUAAAAGAUGCUUGAACCAGACGAGAAAGAUUCUUACUGAUAUCUCAGUUUCAUUCUCGAUGAGAUAUUGGAACAAUCUAAUGCACUACAACGUAUCUUUAACUUUGAAUGCUUUCGUUUGGGAUUUUGCUUAUAUAGAAAACACUUGUGUUUAUAAGCGCUUUUGCUAGAAGUAUUUUUACUAUAAACAUGUUGAAAUUUUUAUUAAUCUAUGUGUUUCAUGGGAAAGUAUUUGGAAGUGCUUGUCCUAGUGCUUUUUCAGAAACGCUUCUAUGACCCAUAAGUAAUUUCAAGUUCUCCUCGAGACAUAAUCGGAAAACACUUUUAGCUCGUACAAAAUACACACUCAAUCCAAAACAUGGCGUUAAUGUACCCAAAACUACUUCAUUCUCUCAUUUACACUUUUAAGACACAGAGUUGUAGGUGAGGUAAGGGCUGCAGAGCCAACAAACUGAUGAACUCCUACAGUUCAUGGUUGCACAAAUCAAAACAACAGUAGCUCUUCCAAAGACCCAAAGGGCCAUCUGGAAAAUUAUAGAUUAAAUUAAAUGUUCACAAGUCUGAGAACACACCCGCUCCCCCAUUUCAUAUACGCAUGUAAUCUGAUAGUGAAGGAACACCUUUAUUUCCUAUUUGUUUAAAGACAAACGCCACAUUUAUUUAAAAAAAAAAAAAGGAAUUAAAAACUCCUUGUUAACAACUUAAUAUCAGCAAUGCUAAAUGACCGAUUCAAAAGGAUUGGGAAUUUAUCGAAGGAUGUUACUAUCCACGCACUUUUUUUUUUAUCUCUCACAUACCUCUUGUUAAUUUUUUUUUCUUUGAUAUUCUUUCUUCAUUUGAUUUGACUUCCAAAAGUUAAAAAGAGUGUGAAAAAUAAAAAUAAAAAGAUGUGUGAAUGGUACCACUAUUUACUGAAACAUACAAAGCUUAAGAUUUUCAUGGAAAUCAAGCUCUAUGCUUGCACUUCCAGUGGGCUUGAAUGUGCGAGCUUCAAAUCAUUGGGACUUGAGGGUGUCAAAUGUAGUGGUUUCUAAAUGGACAUGGAUCACUAAAGGACUUUUAUGUUUUUUGGGGCUUUGGUACUUACUCCAUCUCGGUCAGUGGUCACAAAAAAUAGACGAAUCACCUUUUUGUUUUUUUUUUUUUUUUGGUCAGAAAGAACGAAUCACCUUUUUGUUUGGUUAGAUUAUCUCCGACCAUUAGGUUAAAAUCUAAAAUGUAAGUUUUAAAUUAAUUCAAUUCUUCUUUUUAAAUUAGGCUUAAAAUAAGUUUUGGAUUAAAGUCUAAAAUUGAAUCUUUAAAAAAAAACCUAAAAUUGGGCAACUUUAACCCAGUAUUUGGGCUGGAGUUAAAAAGUUGGCCCAACGAUCCAGAUUUGGACCUAUUUAAUUUUUAAAUAUAUUAAAUCCAACAGUUGAGAUCAAAUAUGAUUAAAGCUAACAGUAAAAAAAAGAUCUAACAAUCCAAAAUUAAAUCCAAAACAAUUAAAAAAAAUUAUUUGAAUCAAAAUUCAUCUAAAAACUCUAUAAAUACAUAUUUCACGUGUCGGUUUUGUGAAUUUUCAACUUUUACCGGAAUCUAAAUCUUUUUAGAUUAAAAUGUUCAUAAGUGAGAGAAUUUAUGUACAACUUCUUCUAAGUAUCCAUGGAAAAUGAAAUUAUAGAUACAACAUUUUAUCAUAGGAUUUAUGUACAGUUUGUGGUGCAUGAAUAAUUUGAAAUGUCUGCAUGCUUUACUCAAUUGUGUUUGUGCAAAAAAAAAAAAAAUUCAAUACCCAAUCUUUUUGAAACAGUCUCUUGCCUUUGAUCUGGAAAGGUAAAUUUGAUGAUUAAUUACGUACAAAUUAAAGUGCAAGAGAGAGAUGAAUUUGAUAAGAACAUAUGAAAUGCAUUAUUAUUGCUAACUAAUCAACCUUUUAUUUGUCAUUCCAAAAAAUUAUAGCUAAUUAAUGACUUAAAAGAUGUGCCAUGUAUGGCCUCCCAUAUAUGUACUAGACAAUCCACAUGCAGUAGGCAAACUGGUUACCUGUCUCGACAGAUUGAAAGUCAAGGGCAUGCUUUGGACUAAAUCUCCCGGGUAUGCCAGGAAAGAAACUUGACAUGCAACAGGACGGAAUAAACCAAGAAUGCGGCAUGCAUAUUUCACCAACAAUCUUUGCAAAAUGUCUUCCUUAUUAGCACGCCGUGUCUUUUUGUCCUCACAUAACCAAUUAAGCAAAGUACACGUGGGUCGACAUGAGCACUCAUGUGUUGAAGUGUGUCUCGUAUCUAAAACCUGAAGAAGUUAAAUCCUUCUCGUUUGAAUGGUUUCACUAUAUAUCCUUGCAUGAGCCCUUUACAAGUGGUUAAGCUGAAUCGACUCUAGAACUUUGACAUCAUGUACUACCUAGACCUGAAUUUUCAAAGUAGAGACCAUAGAGACUUUGAAAUUUCACCCCUAGCUUCUAGACACAUAGUUAAAUUCAUAAUCGUUAAUCCCCAUAUAUCACUAUGAUCGAUUCAAAAUUCAAACUGGAGUACAGCUGGAAUAAUUAAGUUUGUUAGUACCAUAUUAUAUUGGGCCUCGUUACUUGAGCUUCCAGAUAUUGAGCCCAUGAUUCAUGUAAAAGGGGAGGAGCCCUUAGUCUAUAAAAGGGUAUCCUUACCCUUACAAUCCUUAAGCCUCACAUCCCAAAACAGAGGCUCUCAUAUUCAGAGCAAAACUCUCUCAAACUCUCUCUUUCUUUGGACGACUCCCCCUCACACUUGUAAUCCAUACAUACAGUUACACAGAAAUACAAUCAACAUCAGUGUGGACGUAGCCCAAACAUUGGGGUGAACCACGAUACAUUUUGUGUUCUUUACUUUCUUACAGAUUCACGGUCGGAUUUACGUUGUUCCAAGACCCUCCGGUUUUGUGCAUCAACAAAGUUGUGUUUACUUAAUUAUGUUAUAAUGUUAAGUUACCGAAUCAGUCUCAUGAAAAUCCAUGUUAAUUAAAUGUUGGAAUAUAUUUCUCCUAGCACCGCAUAUAGGAGAACUCUCAUUAGUGUCUAAUGUGGUCUUCUAGUCACUCAUGAAUUGCUUGGAAAUCUAAUUGGGAUUUGGAAUAUUAACUAAUUAGCAUAUUCAGUGCCCACGAAGGUUUAGUGAUUUGGAGUAAUGUGGGCAAAAUGGUUUCUAUUAUAUUUAGGAUCUAAUUAAAGAAAGUAUAGAUGCAUGAGGAUUCCUAAUAGGCUUAUGAUGGCUUAUGAUGGACGUAUCCUUUUAGGGUUAUAUAUCUAUAUAAGUAAUAUGUGAGCUUGUUUGGAUAUGCUUUUGAAAUGACUGAAAGCGUUUUUCGUAAAAAUAUUUUUAGAACCAAUCAUUAGUAAAGAUGCAAGUAAAUCCUGAAAAAACACUUAAAGUGCUUCUUGGAAGAAGCACGUAAUUGAUGCUUCUUGCAUAAAGCAUUUAAAGUGCUUUUGAAACCUAAAAAUAUUUUUUCUAAAAGCACUUUUAAUCAUUUUAUGCUUCUUGCAGAAAGCAUUUAAAGUGUUUUUGAAACCCAAAAAUAUUUUUUUUAAAAACGCUUUUAAUCAUUUUAAAAGCAAACGAGCCCCAUAGUGUUACGCAUGUUACACAGAAUACUUCUCAUUCGGUAUUGUAACCUAAUAUGUAAAAACCAAUAGAAAAAAAAAAAAAAACUCUUGCUGACAACAAGAUGUCUUUGUAACACGGCUAUCCAAGUUAGUACUCUAGCAUGCAUGUUUUAAUUAUAUGAACUCCUUAAAUUAACAUUAAAUCGAUUAAUCUAAUUAAACAUACAGCUGCCAUGAGAGUAUGAGAGAAACCAACUUAACCAAACCCUAGCUAGCUAGUUUAACAAAUAUCCAUGCACUAUUUUGCAGGCCGGCUUGUAGUACUGGGAAUAACAACUAGCGAGGCACUGAUUCCACUGAAGUUAGAAAAGGAGAAAUUAAUGGAAACUCUUUCAGAAUAUGUAAAAUAAAAUAAUAAUUAAUAAGAUCAAAUCAUUAAUUAUAAACACUCAACAGUAUGCAAACAAAAUCUUACAGACAAAAUGAAGCGAACUGCAAUAAUUAUCAUGCUCUCACAUGUUUUGAAUCAUCUACACAGCAAGACUACUAAUUAGAUACGAGUAGAAGUAGCACAUCUGAACAUGUUAAUUAAAGAAAAAUAACUUUAAUUACUUAAUUAAAAGGGAUAAUUAAAAGUGAAGAGAAACACUUGAUUCAGAACUAGCUGGUAGCCAAAAAUUCAGAACAAGCUAGGUAUAUGUGGAUUUGCUAGGGUUGAUUUAGCAAAUGAUCGGACCGAGACGCUUGAUUCCCCUUGAGCCAAAGAGUUAGAAAACCCUUUUGUCGGAGAAACCCUACUCAUACAAUAAGUAGAGUUUUGAUCUCAUAUGUAAGAACUAAGAAGUAGCAGUACUAGUGAAAGCCUAUGCCAGUUCUCUCCUCCUCCUCCUCCUCCUCCUCUUCUUCUGCUUCUUCUUCUUCUUCUUGCUGUUGAUCUUGAUCGGCUGCUGCUUGUUGUUUUGGCAGCAGUAAUAGCAGAACUAGAAGUAGGUUUCCUGCAGGUGAUGAGUAAUGUUGGAGAUGAUGAUGGUGGUGGUGGGGUUGGUGCAUGGUGGUGGUGGUGGUGAUGAUGAUGAUGAUAAAGGUGGGGGUGAGGGGGUAAUGAUGGUGGUAGAGAGUCAGAGGGAAGGGCAAGGAGGAGAGCAUCAUGAUUGCUGUUUGGUUCUUGUGUUGAAACUUUGAACAAAAAUCCAAGCUAUUGCUAUUGUGAGCCAUCGCUGUUCUCUCUCUCCUGAUGGAUAUCGAGGAAUUAUUAUCAUGAAGGCCUUUGGUGUGUGGUAGCUUUUUCAAGUCCCCCAGCUCCUGUUCUCUAAGAAAAGAUUUUUGCAUUUUCUAUAAGGAAAAGGGAAUCUCCUGCAACACUUGUUGGACCCCUCGGUUCCUACAUCCCAAUCAACUUCCUCCAAACCGUACCUUCUAAUUCUACAUGUCUAAUAUUUUACCUCAAAAAAAUUCUACAUUUCUAAUAGGGAAAGUUUAUCAAAGUUUAACUAAUAAUUUAAUUAUCAAUUUUCAUGUCAUUUAGUUUAUAAAAUUUAGUCUUCCUAGUAUUACUCUUUUUAAUAUUGAGUUCAAAAUUUUUUACUUCGUCAUAGGGGGUAGUUAGGGAAGCAGAUGACUGAAGAAUGCAUGGUCACAUACCUUUAAAGUUUGAAGACGUGCUUAGCCAUGAAUUUUUUGUCACAUGAUUACUAAGAGAAUGAGAUUAUACCUAAUCAGUGUAGUUCUUCUAACAAUUGUUAAUGUUAAUAAAAGAUACUAGUUCAAGAAUCAAACUCUAAAAAGAAUGAAUAAAAAUCAUGAAUUACCGCAAUAACAAUAUUGGAUUCCUAAUAACAUUUGAGUUCAAGAGUUUUUUUUGUCCCUUCAGUGGUGUAUUUUUAGUGUUUUUCACUAUGAAAAAAUAAUUGUAGGGGGUUUUUAGUGAAGAACUAGGGUACACUAUAUUUUGCUCACCGCCAUUAAUAUCAUAUAUUGUCUUGUAGUAUUACAUAUAUACACAUAAUAAAAUUACACAUUCUAAUUAAAUAACAAUUCAACAAAAAAAGUAUUAUACAAAAGAAAGUUAAACAAGUUGGUCCUAAAGAGUGAGACACCAAAAUUAGUGAAGCUUAGAUGGUGUGUACGUUGCAGCUUAUAUUUUCAAUUUCUUUUCUUUUUAAAUGCUCUCCAUUUUUUAAUUGACUACAGUAAAAGGCUGUUUGUAACUGUAUGUAGAGAGUUGCUGAAACCCUGAAAGCUUUAUCGGUUUUAGUUAAAGAUGCAAAUGGCAGGCCAACAUAUAUAAACCAAUUUAUAUAAGAAACUAAUUAAAAAUGGCAGAGGAAUCUAGAAAUGAUCAAGAAUGACAGAGAUAAAGAAUCAAAUAAUAUAUUUACAUGAGAGAGAGAGAGAGAGAGAGAGAGAUGUGAUACAAAAUUGAGGGAGAACUUGUGAGCUUGUGAGGAUAAAAUGCAUGCUGUACUCCUGCAAAAGCAUUUUGUUAAAUAAAAGUGGACAGAAAUGUUUGCUAGUAAUUCAAUCUUCUUCCUGUCAAAAACAAAAGUAGUCUUUUCUUAUUUUUAUAAUUGCAAAGCUUGAAGCAGGCUAGCCAGGGUAAAAUUAUUUUAGUUUAGUUCUGAAGUGCCUAGAGAGAAAGGAUAAGAUUCCCAAAUAAAGCAUAUUUUGAAGGGAUCAUUUCAGUCCUCUCUAUACCUGCAAUGAUCAUCCUCAAAGUACUCAAUUAACAACUCUUUUAUGCUGUGUGUGGUUUGUCCUGCAGAUGAAAAUAUGAAAAAUCCCACAAUCUUGAAUCCUGAAGAAGGAAUGUAGGAAUAUUCAAUUUUAAAUUCUGAUUAAGCCCUAAACCCUGGAUGUUAGGGAAUGUGGAAGUCGAAAAUGUUAAGAGUUGUCCCACAUCGGUGAGGGACAAGGUUUAUCAUGUGCUUAUAUGGUCUUGGGUUACUCACCAUAUUGCCAAUUGGUUUUAUGGUGGAACCUCAAUUUCAUCAUGGUAUCAGAGCAAGGUUAUCCACGUGUGAAACCCAACGGCCACACGCCCUCCACGUCACUCAGUUGUUGUCCACGUGUAGGCUUGAAAAUCCGCUACACGUGUGGAGGUGUGUUGAGAGUUGUCCCACAUCGGUGAGGGACAAGGUUUGCUAUGUGCUUAUAUGGUCUUGGGCUACUUCCCAUAUUGCCAAUUGAUUUUAUGGUAGAACCUCAAUUUCAUCAGAAAACGCAACCACAAAUGUAUGGACAAUAUACUCUUAGCUAAUUGAAGUACAAGCUCAUCGCUAAUAUCAAAGUGCUACAUUGUACAAAUAUUUACAAACUGGAGCAAACUGGAGGAAUGUCGGGAGCUUGUGGCACAUGAAUGGGAAGGUAAUCUUGGUGGCUCCCAUGCUUUCCGGAUCUGUGAAAAAUUAAAAAUGCUUAGGAAGAGGCUUAAGGCGUGGUAUCAAGGCAGGGGUAGAAAUUAAAAAAAAGCCAUUGAUAAAUUGAAAGAAGAGAUAAGGAGGGCUUACACGUCUAAUCAAUUUGCCUCUGAGGAGGUCAAACUGAAAGAAAGAGAUCUUCGGUCUGCUCUUAGAAACGAAGAAGCCUACUGGAAAGCUAAAUCCAGAGUUCAGUGGCUACGAGAGGGAGAUAAAAACACAAAAUUCUUUCAUGCUCAAACUUUGAAACGAAGGAGAUACAAUCAGAUAAAGGGUCUGGAGGACUCCAAUGGGAAGUGGCAUGACUGUGACAAAGAUAUCUGUGAUAUUGCCAACUCUUAUUUCACUGAUUUAUUUCAGUCCUGUAAGCCCAGCCAAAUCAGGGAUGUAGAAGACUGUAUGGAGACCAGGGUGUCACCGGAGGACAAUCGUGAACUUGUGGCACCUAUCACUGAUGAGGAAAUCAAGGAGGCGGCCUUUCAAAUUCCUUCCGAAAGAGCCCCGGGGCCUGAUGGAUUCUCUGGAUGUUUCUAUAAAGAUCACUGGACGACAGUGGGAGAGGAUGUGGUGAAGGCCAUCAAAGCUUUUUGGCACUCUGGAAAAAUGUUGAGGAAAAUAAACCACACAAAUUUAGUUCUCAUUCCCAAGGUUAAAUGUCCAAAGAACAUGACACAAUUCAGACCUAUUGCCCUCUGCAAUGUUAUCUACAAGAUCCUGGCAAAGGUGAUAACCAACAGACUCAAAAAGAUAAUGCCGAAGGUGAUUGGCGAAAAUCAAUUUGCUUUUGUCGCUGGGAAGCAAAUUCAGGACAACAUUCUAGUGGUUCACGAGCUCUUUCACUCCCUGAACCAUCAAAGCAAAGAUAUUCAGAAAGGAAUGGCCAUCAAGUUGGACAUGGCAAAGGCUUAUGACCGUGUAGAGUGGGAUUUUCUUCUCUCCAUGAUGUCGAAAUUGGGGUUUGCGCCGAUGUUCUGCAACAGGGUAAAAGAAUGUAUUUCUACUGUAUCCUUUAGUAUCCUCAUCAAUGGCUCCCCGACGGGUUACAUCCAACCGAAGAGAGGCUUGAGACAAGGGGUUCCCUUAUCUCCUUUCCUUUUCUUAAUUUGCACCGAGGGCUUCUCCAGUUUGAUCAGGAAAGGGAUGGAGCAUGGAACCCUUCACGGCUACAAGUUUACACCUAACGGGACUCCUCUUACCCAUCUCUUCUUCGCAGACGACUCGGUCCUCUUUGGGAAUGCUACGGUCGAGGAGGCCCAAGGUGUGGCAGAUAUCCUGAAAGUGUAUGCUAGCGGAUCUGGGCAGGAAAUUAAUUUGUCCAAAAGUUCGAUUUUCUUUGGAACUUCGACUUCUAAAAGGACUAAGAAGAGGAUCGGAAAUACGCUGGGGAUACCAUAUAAGGAUGGCUUCGGGAAAUACCUUGGCCUGCAGGCCGAUUUUGGACUCUCCAAAAAAGCGGUCUUUGCGGAGAUUCGAGAUAAGAUCGAAGCCAGGUUAGCAGGUUGGUCGGAGCAAUUCCUAUCCCAAGCUGGAAAGGAAGUCCUGGUAAAGGCAGUUGCUAUGGCUCUGCCAAAUUUUUCCAUGAGUUGCUUCAAACUCCCCAUUGGGGUAUGUAGGGAUGUGGAGAAAGCAGUCCGGAGCUACUGGUGGAGAGGCAAUGACCAGAAAAGGGGAUGUCACUGGAUUUCAUGGGAUCGGCUAAUGAAACAAAAAUUGGCCGGUGGUUUGGGAUUUAAGGAUAUCCAGUGCUUUAACCUGGCUUUCCUAGCUAAGAUUGGUUGGCGUUUGAUCCAAAACCCCACUUCCCUACUUGCAACUGUCUUAAGAGAUAAAUAUUUCCCAGGGAUUCAAGGAAGCUGGAAGAGGGAGAAACACUUCGUGGGGAUGGAAAGGCAUCUUUGAAGGUCGUAUGAUCCUUCAACAUGGUGUUAGAUAGCGGGUUGGAGACGGGAAAAGCAAAUAUCCGAAAGGAUCCGUGGUUACCGACACCUACCACCUUCUUGGCUAACCCGUUGGAUAGUCUAGAAGAAAUCAAGGUCCGGGACUUGAUUGACCCAAUCUCAAAAUCUUGGAAAGAAGAGGUCAUCUCGGCCGGUUUCAACCGGGAUGAAGCUAGGAAAAUUUUAAGUAUACCCCUAAGCAAAUCUGGCUGCCUUGACAGAUUAGUUUGGCAUUAUACGGUGAAUGGAGAUUACUCUGUUAAAACUGGAUAUGGAGUGGCAAUGAGCUUGAUGGAGAAUGGCGCCCUGGGCAGGAAUGGACGGGGUGCGCCUAGUGAGCACCGAAAGAACAAGUUGAUAUGGAAAAUGAUUUGGACGUUGCAGGUUCCCAACAAAAUCAAAUUUUUCAUAUGGAAGUGCUGCAACAAGGCUCUGGCGGUGCGACACAACCUGCAACGCCGUCAAAUACGAGUCGAAAACAUCUGUGGGGUAUGUCACACUUUUGAUGAAUCGGAAAAUCAUUUAUUCUUCCAUUGUGAAUUUAGCCAUCGUUUCUGGUUUUGUUCUCCUCUACACAUAAAUUCUCAUGAGUUGGCCGGUGCCGACUUCCUGGAGAGUUGGGAUAAAAUAUGUUCCAGAAUCAAGAAUAUGGAAAAGAAAGAGGAGAUUCUCCAGGAGGUUGCGUUUGGUCUGUGGCGUCUCUGGAAGAAUAGAAAUGAAGUGGUAUUUAAUGGUGUACAUAGACAACAUUUGGAAGUCAUGACUCUAUGGGGAAAGAAUAUUUCUGAGUAACGUGAGGCUCUGUCCCUAAAACCAGAGGGUGAAUGUCAUCUGAUUUCCAAACCCCACAAGAUGGAGAAGCGUCCGCAGCUUCGGUGGCAGAAACCAAAUUUUGGAACCAUCAAGGUGAAUACCGAUGCGGCCUGGUGCAGAUCUUCAAUGCGAACUGGAGUUGGAUGGGUGGGCCGCGACUUUGCGGGUCUGCUUCAAUUUGCUGGAGGAUCGGGAACUGGUUUUUGUCAUAGUGCGGCGGCUGCUGAGGCAUGUGCUAUUCGGAGUGCUCUGAUGGCUUGUAUUGAAAAUGGUUUUGAUAAGGUGAUAAUUGAAUCUGAUGCUUUAGUUAUCAUUAAGAUGCUAAGAAAGGUCUCUCCACAAGACUACAGCAUCGAAUGCAUCCUUGGUGACAUCGAGAUUCUAGUACAGAGGUUAAUGUCAAUGACAUUUUCGUUUGUACCUAGGGAGAGCAACCAUGCGGCUCACUCGGUGGCGAAGUUUGCCUUGCAGCAAGGUGGUGAUUAUGUUUGGGAUUGUAUUGGGCCGAAGUUUUUGUUUAAUGUUCUAGCCCACGAUGUAAACAUUUCUAUUCGCCUUUAAUUUAUUCUAUCUUCGGUUUAAAAAAAAAAAAUUACCCAAAAGAAAAAAAUAUAUACUCUCUACUAUCAUGUGAUUCAUUAACAAUAGAAAUUGAAUAUGAUUUUUUUUCACCAUCAUAAACGAUUCGUGUAGAAUACGAGCUUAGUAUUUGUCCCUAACCAAACAUUGUUUGUAUCUCAAAAGAAAAAAGUUGCUUUGACAAAAAGAAAGUUGCAAGAAAUUACCAAAUAGUUAAACAUGCAAUGAGCCUGAAGAACAUUAUUCUUAAUUCACAUAUCAACUUGUAUUAAUCACUCAAAGACUUUAUGUUUUGACCCUGAUAAAGUCCCCACUUAAUUCAACCAGCCUUUUAUUCCACUUUGUAAUAUAGUCCGACGGAAAGAAAACCCUAGCUGGCCAAAAAAGUAGACAUUCCCGGAUAUUCAAAUCUUUUUAGCACCAAACAAAUUCCAAAACCAAAGAUCAAAAGUUCACAGUAUUUCGUGUCUAGCCAGCCUUAAUCAGUGCUUGUUUCAUGUCACAAUCACUUUAUGAUAUUCCAUUACCAUCCAAAGCAAAACUUAUUUUGUCAUCCAUUUUUAUUUGGAUGAAUUGCGAAACGUACAUAAAACUGAAUGCAUACUUCAUACGUCUAUUUUCAUGUGACAAAAGAGACGGAUAUACAGAAUUAUAUCUAAUUUCAUGUAACUUAUAUAAUAUAUAUACUCGAUUUCAUGUAAAUUGUAACUCAAUAUACAUCCAAUUUUAUGUAAGUUCAGAUGAUAAUUAUGGCCUAGCAGUUUAAUCUGUCAUACAACAACCGUAUUUCCACCAGUGUUCAUGCAGUAGGCAAUUAGGUUAGUUAUUAACCAACAAAAGAAGAAAGUGAAAAAGGGGUUCGUGAGAGGCAGGAGCUGCUAUGCCUCCAACAGGGAAAAAAGUGCAUUUUAUUCCCUUGAAACCUGUUGAUCUCUCAACUCUGCGUAUCAUCAUUACAUUGGAAAGUGGGUUGACACCGCCCUUGUUGCAAAAAUAGUAUAAACAAUCGAACAUAUUAGGCUGACAACAGAGCAUGCACAUUGCACACACUUUUGUUCUUAGUAGGAAUUGUGUGGGGAUGCCCAACAAUUCAUAAGAUACGUUUCUCAAAAGUAUGAGAUGCAAUUUGAACUCGGUGUAUUUGACCAAAAAAGAAGUUAUAACUUGGUAUUAGAGUGGGUUUAGUUAGACAAUGGUAUCGAAUUUCUUUUGUUAUUUCAUUUUAUUUGUGUAUUCUAAUUCCUCAUGAUGCAAUUCUCACUCAUUAUCGAAAUGCUCUAAUUAGACAGCCUUACUGAAUAUUUUUUGCAAUUACAGUCUAUUAAUAUCAUUUGAUUUCAUUUGACUCGACGAUGUCUCCACUCAUUAUAAAAAUGCUCGUCAUACUCAGACAGUCUUACCGAAUAUAUUCUCCUAUUCCACACUAGCUUUACUCUUUAUACUAGCAUUUCGCCUUUUAGGUGCAAGUAGAAUUUUGAGCAGUCAGGCUAACCGAACUGAGCCCACAUAAGUUUUACAGUCUCUUAGCCCAACAUUCUUACUCGGGCCCUAAUAUUUGGGCCUAAAUUAUUUGAUUUAUGAAAUAUUAAAGCCCAUUUGUUUUGGUAUUAAAACGAGCCCACAUUCAAUUUGGUUCAGAAUAAGAAAUGAAAAGCCGUUUGAGGCCGAGACAGAGAGCGCGGGAAAGAUGUUAGUUAGCCGUUGCGCAGUUCAAUUCUCUUUUGGGACUUUCUUCAAACACCUUCCGGUAUCAAAUCCGGCGACGCUCUGUCCGUACAGAUUCAGACCCAAAAACCUAACCGCCAACCCAAUUCGUAGCUCCUCUUACUUUGAGACGUUAGAUUCCUGCCAAAAAGAGCAAGUCCAUCUCUAUGUCCACACUCUUCUCCAAUGGAACCGGGUUUUUUUCUCUCUCCUUACACUUAUGCUCUGUUUGGUUGCUGAGAAAAUUGCGGGAAAAUCAUGAAAAGAUUACCAAUUGAUGAAAUUUUUGAACUUGCAGAAAAUGAAUCUGACAGCCGUUAAGGAGGCGGAUGAGGUAAUGGAGAGGCACAUUGAGGACUCGCUCGCAAUCAUACCGCCUAUUAGAAAUUCUUAUCUCUCUCACUGUAACCCUUCGUCCAAAAACCUCCGCCUUGUAGAUGUGGGGAGCGGUGCAGGUCUUCCGGGUUUGAUCUUAGCCAUUGCUUGGCCAGGUAAGUAACUACUUUGCAAAAGUUCCGAUUUUUUUUGUUGCAGUUUUUCGGAAGUUUGUAUAAUUUGUUCAGGUUUCGCUGGAUAGGUUGGGAAGUGACACUGAUGGAGUCUAUGAACAAGAGAUGCAUUUUCUUGGAACACGUUGUCGGUCACAUUGGUUUGUCGAAUGUUCAAGUUGUAAGAGGAAGAGCAGAGGUAUGGUUUCGUGUUUUUCGUAGAUAUAAUUUUGUUUCUAGAGAUGUCAAAUUAAGGAUAUGAGAGUUGCUGAUUCUUGUUACUUUGGUGGUCAGCUGAAUACUGUCUUCCUCUGGUUUGCGUUGGCGGUUUGUUUGUUGCUGCAAAGGGCCACGAUGUAAUCGAAAAGUCUUAUCACACUAACCAUUCAUUUCUGAAAUCGUAUCCAAAAUGUCACUAAAAACUGAACUGGGUUGUGGGAAUUGUGUCUAGGUAGAUUUAUGACUUUAAUUACCUCAGCAACAUGACGAACAGCCCCUGUUUUUUUCUAUUGGUGCAAUUAAACUAUUAGAUAUGAAAUAUUAAGUACUCUGCAUAUUUGGCACAUUUGAACAGGAGGUCAAGAGAACUUUCAUGAUUUCCAUUGUCAGCCCUUUACAGUUCUACAUUCACACAUGUUCUAUUUCAGUGAAAAAAUUUUGGGGAAAAAGAAGAAGAAAAAGAAGUUGAUUCCAUCUCAAUGUAUUAAAAGGCGGAGGUGUGGGCGAGGCGUUCCAUGGAUAGCCCCGCCUAGGCAUGAGCGAGCCGUUUCAUGGAUAGCCCCGCCUAUGCGUGAGGCAUCAGGCGAAGCCUUACGGGACCUUAAAUAAUAGGGGACUGCUAAGAAAAACAGGGGAAUAGGGGACUCUUGGGGUUUUAAAAUAAAAGAAAAACAGACUUGGCCAAAAUGACGUUGUUUUGGGCCAAGUUAUUUAAAAAAAAUUAAAGACUUGGCCAAAACGACGUCAUUUUGGACCAAAUCUUUUUUUUUUUAAUCCCUCUUCUUCUUCUUCUUCACGGUCGUCUUCCUCGUGAAGACGCCGCACACCUUGCAACCCUAAACCCAGAUGACAGAACCUUCAACUUCAAUUUACCCAGACAACAGAGCAUUUGACUUCGAUUUUGGGUUGCGGAUGGAUCUGGGAACGCCCGUCAACCGCCUUUAGGCGCGCCUCAGCCGUCUAGGCGAGUUUUCACCCACUCCCAUUAGGCAAAGGCGUUAUCACUCCCGCCCUGCCUCCAAAAUCAAAGAUCAAAAGUUCACAGUAUUUCGUGUCUAGCCAGCCUUUACCAGUGCUUGUUUCAUGUGACAAUCACUUUAUGAUAUUCCAUUACCAUCCAAAGCAUAACUUAUUUUGUCAUCCAUUUUUAUUUGGAUGAAUUGCGAAACGUACAUAAAACUGAAUGCAUACUCCAUACGUCUAUUUUCACGUGAUAAAAAAGAUGGAUAUACAGAGUUAUAUCUAAUUUCAUGUAACUUAUAUAAUAUAUAUAUACUCGAUUUUAUGUAAAUUGUAACUCAAUAUACCUCCAAUUUUAUGUAAGUUAAGAUGAUAAUUAUGGCCUAGCAGUUUAAUCUGUCAGAAAACAACCAUAUUUCCACCAGCGUUCAUGCAGUAGGCAAUUAGGUUAGUUAUUAACCAACAAAAGAAGAAAAAGAAAAAGGGGUUCGUCAGAGGCAGGAGCUGCUAUGCCUCCAACAGGGGUAAAAGUGCUUUUUAUUCCCUUGAAACCUGUUGAUCUCUCAACUCUGCGUAUCAUCAUUACAUUGUGGAAGUGGGUUGACACCGCCCUUGUUGCAAAAAUAGUAUAAACAAUCGAACAUUAGGCUGACAACAGAGCAUGCACAUUGCACACACUUUUGUUCUUGGUAUCAGCAAUCACUGGUAGAUUUUCAACAGUCUCAUCUGCAGAAUCAGACUCUACAUAUUUGUUUGGACAAGGUAUGGAACCAGUUACAAACCCAAGAAUUCCAUGUCCAUCUAACAAGAGUUCCAAUUGAAAAUUCCAUGUAACAUAAUUGGAAUCAAGUUUUACAGUCACAGUGUUUCCAACACUGAAAAUUCCAUGUAACCAUUUUUAUAUGAACACACCAAAUCAACUAGAAAUUCUGAGCAACAGACAAAAUGAUCAACUUUGCAAGAAUCAACACAUCGACAAUUGAAGAUGAACAAAUCAAGAAUCAACACUAAUACACCACAAAUCCGUCAAAUAGCAACACGAUCUUCACCAAAGAAAGCAAGAAUCAAAUCACCGACUUACAGAAAAUCCCAAAGAAAUUAAGGGUCACCGACUUAGUGCACUGACGUUAGCUUUAACGAGCGAACAACAGCAACGAGCGAUAGAGGCACCAACGAGAAAUGCUAGCGGAAGCACAAGGAUCGUCGUCAACCGUUAAGAAUUACCCGUCGCCGGUGAAGAUACCGUGUUAACAAAGCUUACAGAGAUUUAGAGAGAGAGAAAGUAGAGAGGGAAAACGACUUUUCAAUAUUUCACUGUUAUUAACUUCAGAAUUAUUAUAAAUUCAUCCUCACAUAACUAACUCAUCUAAUACACAUGUGACACAUGGCACACAUCUAAUACAUAACACUUGGCAUAAUCCUAAGCUAACCUCUGUAGUCUAACAGUUUUAACUUUUAAAUUGCACAGAAAGAAAGAUGCUUGAACUUAUAUAAUAGUAUAAUGUUAGAGAGACAAAAUUGACAAGGGUUUUUAUUACAAAUGGUCAAAUCGAAAUGGUUCCGAAUUAGAAAAUCAAUUAAUGUCAUCCCUAAAUAUUAGUGUACAAAUCAAUAUUGUCAUUCUGUUUAGAUUCCGUUAAAAAUUCUGUUAAGAUGUUUUAUGUGGCACACAUGUGAAUCCACCACACAUAACAUGACCCACGUGUAAUUUGCCAAAAAUUGUUUACAAAUUUCAACCAUGCAAAGUUGAAAUUAAAUGGCAAGACAAUACCAACGUUUUAACCAAAAGAAACGUAAAAGCAACAUUAUUGUUCAUUGUUCAAAUGAAAAGCAACAACAAACUCAAGUAUAGCCUCCCAAACUUGUAUCUAGCUUAUAUAAUAUGAAGUGGGACGGGUAAUAUGUGCAUGAGCAAUUUGAGCAAGAAAUCGGAUUGGAUUUGGCUUGAAGCAAACAUCAACCCAACCCAACCCAAUAGGGUAGGUUUGAAAAACCGAAAACUGAAAAAAAAAUCGAACCGAACACCGAACCGGAAUAAAAAAAAAAACAAACCGAACUGGAUUAUAUUGGUUCGGUUUCGAUUUCAAUAGUUCGGAAACCGAAUUAGACCAAACCGAACCAAAUUCUAAACCUAUUUAAACGAGUUUUAUGAUACUUAACUAACCCUUACUAACUAAUACAUUACACUGUGUACAUGUGCAAUUAGAUUAAGGAUUGUUAUUGUUUUUUAUUGCCAACUGCUUAAGAUGAAAUGGAUUUUGGCAGGAGCCAAUUGCUUAACAAAUACACGGUACGAAAUGGAUUCUAUGUUAACUUCCCAUUGCAUAUAAUUAUUGGAAUUUAGUUUUUGCAUUACAAUUAUUUGAGGUCAGUGCCUUAUGUGACCAUGCAUUUUAAUUAUGUUUGGUUAUCCAUGUUAGCUUAGCUUGAUACAAUUAUUAGUAUCAUUUUUGGUACUGGAAUAUAUGCAUCUUCCCAUAUUUUUGGUAAUGGAAUAAAUAUGCAUCUGCCCUUCCAUUGAAGUUUCAACAAUGCAUACAUUAGUGAUAUAGUGUACCAUGCAACGGUGUUAGUACUUAUUGAGAAAAAAAAAAAUAUAUAUAUAUAUAUAUAUAUAUAUAUAAACUGAACCAAAUUUAAACCAAACUUACAAAAAUCGAAUCGAAGUCAAACCGAACAAAAAAAAACUGAAAGAAAAAUCGAACCAAACCGAAUAGUAACUUCGGUUUGAUUUUUGGUUUAGGCAAAAAACCGAACAAAAAGGAACCGAACCCACCCCUACAACCCAAUAAAUAAUCAUGUUGAGGUCAGGUUGGGUUUUGGCGGGUUUUUCCUUUAUUCUAACCCUCUCGAUCGAGUUUAAAAUCAAGUUGGGCAUGAGCGGAUUCGGGGUGACCCAACCCAUGUUGCACUCCCAUUGUGAGGAGUGCAAGAUGAAAUUUUUGGAAUGCUAAUAGCAGUUCUUAAAUUUUUAAUGACAAACUUGAGAUGAAAAUACAUUAAGGAUCAAGAUGAAGCAACUCAAAAACUUUUGGCACAAAAUCGAAAAUGGUUUGAAGGGCCACUUGAUAUAAUAAUUGAUAGUCAUAAUAAAACUAUGUGCUUGAUAUAAUAAUUGAUAGUCAUAAUAAAACUAUGUAAUAUUUUGAUGUGGCAACACACUUUUUGUCACAUCCCAGCCCGGGGUGGAUCACUUCCCGUGCCCACUCCACCACCGUAGCACGAUAUUGUCCGCUUUGGGCCCCGACCACGCCCUCACGGUUUUGUUUCUGGGAACUCACGAGCAACUUUCCAGUGGGUCACCCAUCAUGGGAGUGUUUUGGCCCCAUUCUCACUUAACUUCGGAGUUCCUACGGAACCUGAAGCCAGUGAGCUCCCAAAAUGCCUUGUGCUAGGAAUGAGAAUAUACAUUUAAGGAUCACUCCCCUGGACGAUGUGGGAUGUUACAAUCCACCCCCCUUAGGGGCUCGACGUCAUCGUCGGCACACCACGGCCAGGGAGCCAGUGAGCUCCCAAAAGGGCUCGUGCUAGGUAGGGAUGAGAAUAUACAUUUAAGGAUCACUCCCCUGGACAAUGUGGGAUGUUACACUUUUUCUCUUCGUGUGGAUUAAGGGAAAUUCCCCUACAUGAUUUUUAUCAAGACCUCAUCUCAAAAGCCCUAUCCUCAUCUCAUAAGUACCGUACUUUUCACAAUAUAUAUAUAUAUAUAUAUAUAUAUAUAUAUAUAUAUAUAGGGCCCUUACCAAGAGGGUGUCAUCAUUGACUUUAAUGAAAUUGUGUGGUUGAGUAGGAAAUCUUUAAGGGAAGAUAUUCCUAUUUUUUUUAAAUAGGAAUUAGUUGUGGGGUCCACACUACAUCGGACUUUAGUGAUCCGAAUCGUUUAUUUUUCAAGUUGCACCUCAUAGAUCAUCCUUGCAAAAUAUUAGCCAAAUUGGAAAUGUUUAAGACAUCCAAUUGGGUUCAAAUAAAUUAACGAAUACUUUGUUAUAUAAGAAACAAGAAAUUUUAUCUUGAUAAUUAAAUAGGCAAAUGGUUUGAGAUUGAAAUGAAUUAUGGCAAUGAUGAUCUAUGAAUCGAGACUUACAAAAUAAACGGUUGGAUCGUUGAAGUUCGAUGUGGAGUGAGCCCCACAACUAAUCCUCAUUUAAAAAAAAAAUAGGAAUCUUUUUGCAUAAAUGGUCUGUAUAUAUAUAAAAUACCUUUCAGCAAAAUAAAUUAUCAAAUGAAAAAUUAACAAUUUGGUUUUUUGCCACAAAAUAAAAUCACGAACAACCAAUUUUAAUUAAAAAAAUAAAAAAUAUUUUUCCCACUUCUUUUCAUAUAUUAUACUAGCAAAAGCCUCGAGAAAUAUACUUUUUAUAUUUUUUAAAUAUUUGUUUUUAUUUUUUUAUGAGAGGAAAAAGAGAGAAGGAGAGAGAGUGAGUUUACAAGGACAUAAGGAAUUGAUAAAGUGACAUAGCUAUGAGGUUUUAAAAAAAAAAGUAAAAACUUUUUGUACAAAUUUACUUUAAUGCUCACAUUGUUUUUUUUUCUAAUAUUUUUUUUUUCAGUUUUGUAUUAUGAGAGGAAAAAGACAGAAGGAGAGAGAGUGAGUUUACAAAGAAUUGAUAAAGUGAUAUAGCUGUGAGGUUUUAAAAAAAAAAAAGUAAAAACUUAUUUGUACAAAAUUACUUUAACACUCAUAUAAUUGUAAUUUUAUUAGUUUUUUUUGUUAUAAAUAAUAUUUUAUUAAUACGUAGUUUAGAUUUCUCAAAAACAUUGUUUUUUUUCUAAUAUUUUAUUUUUUCAGUUUUGUAUUAAAAGAUAUAGCAGUAAUUUUAUUAAUUUUUUUUGUUAUAAAUAAUAUUUUAUUAAUAGGUAGUUUAGAUUUCUCAAAGUUUGAAUCUGGUAAAUUAAAAAAUAAAGAAAAAGCCCAUUUUGCUCCCAAUGCCAUCUUCUACUUUCUUCCCCUCCCAACAAUGAAAAACCCUCAAAAACCGAAAGGCUGGUGAGGAGGAGGACGACCAUGGUGGCCACUGCAUUGCUGCUUACUUCCUCUUUACUGCUGAUUACGGCCCCGAGCCCAACGCUCUCGAUCCUGUAAGUUCCUGUUUCUUCCCGCAAUUUCAUCUUCAUCAGAAAUCAAACUUUGAUCUUGUUACAAAAAGGGUAGCGAGAAAAUCAAAACUUAAUCUCUUGGUUCACAAUUUAAUUUCUCAGAUCUGCAAUUCGAGCUCACAAAUUUUGGGGUCUUUCCAUUUCGUGUUCGAUUUACAAUUGUUAGCUGUAGAAUGAAUGUGGGUUGUGUAACUGUACUAGUUUGGUAUACUUUGUUUUCGCUUUUCAACGAUUUUGUUCAUGUCUUUUUAGCAAAAUGAUAAUGCGAGUGAGGUUUUGGUUAGUUUUCUCUGCUUGUGUAGUUACCACUCUCUAAUUACAAAUGUUUUGGUAUUUGAUUGUUUACGACGAAGCCAAGGUUGCGAUUGUAAAAAGCUGCAGAAAAUGUGAUUUAGGAAUGCUCUUGGACUGCUAUACUGUGUAGAUUGUUGAGCACUUCUUUUUUCUUCCCUAAAUGUAGAGAGGAGCAUUUUUAAUCAGUUAGGAACGACGUAUUUUGCGAAAAUUGGUAGUUUAAGGUACCUUAAAGUACCUGAACCUAGUAACUCUACUUGCAUGAUCAAUAACAAGAACAAAACUGAAAAGGAAAAAAAACUUGGUAAAUCCUUGACUAGAUACCAAAGAAGGAGAGUUGGAUAUCUAUAAACUAGCUAAACCAAGUGAGGUGCAUCAAGGAUGAGGAUGGAAAGGUUCUUGCUACAGAGAACGCGGUUAAAGACAGAUGGAAAGGUUAUUUUCAUAAUCUUUUCAAUGAAGGACAUGAAAGGAGUGCUUCUUUAGGGGAGUUGAGUAACUCAGAAGAGUGUAGAAACUACUCUUUUUAUCGUAGAAUCCGGAAGGAAGAAAUGGUUGUAGCUUUGAAGAAGAUGAAACAUAGAAAAGCAGUAGGCCCAGACGAUAUACCAAUCGAAGUGUGGAAAGUUUUGGGAGAGACAGGUAUAACAUGGCUCACUGACCUUUUCAAUAGGAUUUUGAAAACGAAGAAGAUGCCAAAUGAGUGGCGAACGAGCACUUUGGUGCCUAUCUACAAGAAUAAGGGCGAUGUACAAAAUUGCAUGAACUAUAGGGGUAUUAAGCUAAUGAGUCAUUCAAUGAAGCUCUGGGAGAGAGUCAUUGAGCAUAGAUUGAGGCAAGAGACACGGGUUUCGGACAACCAAUUCGGGUUCAUGCCAGGGCGCUCAACCAUGGAGGCAAUCUAUCUCUUACGAAGAUUGAUGGAAAGAUAUAGAGAUGGGAAAAAGGAUUUACACAUGGUCUUUAUAGAUUUGGAAAAAGCGUAUGAUAGGGUCCCAAGAGACAUUCUUUUGAGGAUUUUAGAGAAGAAAAGAGUACGAGUAGCAUAUAUCCAAGCUAUACAGGAUAUGUAUGAAGGAGCAAAGACUGCCGUAAGAACUCAUGAAGGACAAACCGAAAGCUUUCCCAUAACUGUAGGAUUACAUCAAGGCUCAUCCUUAAGUCCUUACCUUUUUGCGUUGGUAAUGGAUGAGUUAACAGGACAUAUUCAAGAUGAUAUUCCUUCGUGUAUGCUUUUCGCAGACGAUAUAGUGUUGAUAGAUGAAACUCAGGAAAGGGUAAAUGCAAAGCUUAACCUUUGGAGAGAAGUGUUGGAAUCUAAAGGUCUUCGCCUAAGCCGAUCAAAGACAGAAUAUAUGGAGUGCAAGUUCAGUGCAAAUGGAGGCCAAAACGAGUUAGGGGUGAGGAUCGGAGAUCAAGAAAUACCAAAGAGCGACCGUUUUCGUUACCUAGGAUCUAUCUUGCAAAAGAACGGAGAAUUAGAUGGAGAUCUCAACCAUAGAAUACAAGCUGGAUGGAUGAAGUGGAAGAGUGCAUCCGGCGUGUUGUGCGACCGCCGUAUGCCACUGAAGCUCAAGGGAAAAUUUUAUAGGACGGCAAUAAGGCCGGCGAUGCUGUAUGGCACAGAAUGUUGGGCGGUGAAGCAUCAACACGUACACAAAAUGGGUGUAGCGGAGAUGAGGAUGCUUCGUUGGAUGUGUGGGCACACGAGAAAGGAUAAGAUUAGGAAUGAGGAUAUCCGGGGUAAAGUAGGAGUAGCCGAAAUUGAAGGAAAGAUGAGAGAAAAUCGGUUACGGUGGUUUGGACAUGUGCAAAGAAGGCCUACUGACGCUCCGAUUAGAAGAUGCGACCAUGAGACAGAGGUUCAGGGCCGAAGGGGUAGAGGAAGACCUAGGAAAACUUUGGAAGAGACCCUAAGAAAAGACUUAGAGUACUUGGAUCUAACGGAGGACAUGACACAGGACAGAACACAAUGUCGUUCUAAGAUUCAUAUAGCCGAUCCCACUCAGUGACUUGGAUUUUCCAAGUCUCCAACCGAGAAGUUUUCCUCACUCGGGAAAUUAAGGGAACACUACCUCAACCUACAUGCCCCACUCACAAAGCUUCAACAUACAAGCUUCAAUAAAAGAAAAUUCAAAGAACUUAGCGAAGAAGGCUUUGGUGUAUUUAACACAAUACGUUGAAAUGAAGGAAAGCUGAUUUAUUGAUAUCCCCGAUCAGUUACAAAUAUGUACAUAUACUUGAGUCAAAAUAAACAAACAAGAGGGAGCCUUCACAAAGGUUGCUUAGAAGAAGUCUCAGCAGUCGGUAGAGCCCCAGAAAGAGAAGGCACCGGAGGGGGAUCCUUCGGAGCCUCAGUACUGGACAGAACCCUAGAAGGAGGAGGCAUCAGAGGUUGAUCGUUUGGAGCUUCAUUACACGGUUCAGCCCCAGAAGACGAAGGCAAUAAAUGCCUUUGGAACAAACCCACAAAUAUCUGAUGAUCAAGUAAAACCUGACCAUCAGAUUCCUUCAUCUGGUCAAGCUUCCUCUUCAUGUUUGUAGCAUAGUCAUGUGCGAGCCGGUGCAACUAUUUAUUCUCAUGCUUGAGCCCUCUAAUCUCCUGUUUGAGACUCAUCACUUUAGUCGCCAAUGAUUCAACUUGGCGGGUUCGAGCAAAUAGGCGUUGGGCCAUAUUAGACACAGAACCUGCACACUGAACACUGAGAGCCAGAGAAUCCUUAACAGCCAACUCAUCAGACCGUUUGGAAAGUAGUCUGUUAUCUUUGUGAGUGAGAAGGUUCCUGGCCACUACCGCAGCGGUCAUAUCAUUCUUCAUCACGGAAUCCCCAACGGUAAGAGGACCAGUAGGGGAGACGAAGGAUGGGCGCCAUAUGUUGUCUGGAGAAGGCGGGGCUACCUCUUCAACAAGGUUCAAGUCAAAAUGACGGUCGGAGGGGCCAGACAUUUUCAAAGGUGUUGAAGAGAGAAGAGGUCGGACAAAUCAAGAUCUUAGAAGUGCAAGAAUGGAGCUUCUACUGGUGGAUAUUCAAGUGUGCUUUGGAACUUAAUGUCAGCCCCUAUAAAAAUCUGCACUCGACGAAGCUUCAGAAAUCGAAGAGGCGCCUGCUCAGAAAUCAAAGAGGCGUUUGUUUUCUCAAAAGCUGGGCUGCUCAGAGACCACGAGGGUCGAUCUCAGAAAUCGAAGAGGCGUUGGCUUUCUCAAAAGCUGGGCUGCUCAAAGACCACGAAGGCCGAUCUCAGAAAUCGAAGAGGCUUGCUUUCUCAAAAGUUGGGCUGCUCAGAGACCACGAGGGCCGAUCUCAGAAAUCGAAGAGGCACCUACUUUUCCAGCCUUGUCAGCACCUGUCACACGCACACUCAGCUUUGCGAAAAUUAUGGGCAUUCUGUCGAAGAUUUCUGGCGAAGUAGAAAGCACAUGAAUCGUACUGUUCAAUCACCCACUUCCCACACGCAACAGUAGCUCAUGGGUACCACAGAUAACUUUGCCAAAGUUCUCUGACAAAGUUGAGACACGUGAAGCUUGCAGCUCCCACUACAUCGCUCUGACCAAGAAGGGUAAAAGAAUAGCAAAGAAACAACACUACCAAAGUUUAGACACAUCAAUUUUGAAGGUCUAGCUACCAUAUUAUUACCCACAAGGGUAAAUGAACAGUACCACUGCUGGAUAAUUGGAAAGUCCCGGUGUGUCAACCUCUGUGCUUCGUGGCAAGGUAGACUAGCAAACAUGCCCAACCUUUACUCACAUUCGAGAAAACACUCCCAACAAGAUUGCUUGCUCCAAAAUCGAAGAGGCACCGUCCUCCGAAUCUCGAGAGCCAAACUCCCAACAUGAUUACUUUCUCAAAAAUCGAAGAGACACCGCUCUCCGAAUCUCGAGAGCCAGACCCCCAGCAUGAUUGCUUUCUCAAAAAUCGAAGAGGCAUCGUUCUCCGAAUCUCGAGAGCCAGAUCCCCGACAGGAUUGCUUGUUCGAAAACCGAAGAGGCACCACUUUCCCAACUUCAAGAGCUGGAUCUCCUUGGAUAAAGCUUGUCUGUAAUCUUCACACGCAACAUCAGCUUUCCAGAUACCACAGACCACUUUUUCAAAGUGCUCUGACAGAGUUAAAACAUGUGAAGCUGACAGCUCCCUCUACCCUGCUAUGACCAAGCAGGGUAAAGGAAUAGCAUUAUUACUUGAUGUUAGGGAGACUCCUAUAUAUGUCGACCUCCAUCCCCAACGGACAGGCAGACUUGCAAAAAUGCUCAACCUUUCCUCUUAUCUAAGAGGGCACUCCUAACGAAGCGUUUCGAAAUUUUCAGCUUUCUUUCCCCCCGAUAAUACCUCUGUAAACAAGCUAUACUAGAGCAAGAAUAUCUCAUAUCAUCAGGGUUAAAAGCAAGAGUAUCCCAUAUCAUGCUUUUUCCCUGUCUUUUCCUUUGGCCUUGUUCUUACCUGCAAGACAAGGAGAAAGAGAGCAAUCAGUCAGCACUUGGAAUCAAGCUUCCAGCCAGGAACUGACUGCCUGGAAUUACUUACCUGGCAUUGCUCUCAAGUACUCAUCUUCAACAUCUUAGGCUUCCAGGGAAGAUACCACAUCUGCCUGAGGAACAGCUAGGGCAAGUGAGAAGGAUACAAGGAAGCAUGUGGAGACAAGCGUAACAGCACACGUGCCGAUACAUCCACUACUCUGUCAAAAGCAAAAGUAUCCCAUAUCAGCAGGGUCGAACGUACUCUAGAUUUGAUGGACUUGUUUUGACCCUCAAAUUCUUCAGUCGGCCUUAUACUCUGGAGGAAACCAGAAAACCCUCCAGCCCAGUUCAAGAAUAAGCCUGUGGAAAGUUACUUCUUCAAAAGCAAAAGUAUCCCAUAUCAUCUCUUCUCAUUUUUCUUCUCUUUAUCCUUCAUGCUGCCUGCAAGAUAGGGAGAAUGUGAACAAUCAGCCGGAGCUCUGAUUGCUUACCUUGUCUGUCACCCCUUUCAGCAGAUACCCUAGCUCGGCGACUUGGGGGACUCCUACUACAUGGUUUGUAUCGCGCUUGACCAAGCCUGAAACUACAAGUAAGCUUCAAGUGAAAUUGAUACAUUACCUUGUGCAUCUCCACCAGUUACAGAUACCACCCCUGGAUGGAGGAAGAGUACUUCCAGAGAAGAUGCCACAUCUACCUAUGAGACAGAUAAGGCAAGUCAAGACGAUACCACACUCCGGUACUUAAGUUUCGUGGUUACGAGAUCAUUCUCCCACAAUAUUUCCUAAUGUCAUUUGUACUAAAUCAUUCACUUGUACUCACUAAAGGAGAGCUUGAACCUAUGUACUUGUGUGAACCCUUUACAAUUAAUGAGAACUCCUCUAUUCCGUGGACGUAGCCAAUCUGGGUGAACCACGUACAUCUUGUGUUUGCUUUCCUAUCUCUAUCCAUUUAUAUACUUAUCCACACUAAUGACUGGAGCAAUCUAGCGAAGAUCACAAAAAGUGACCGUUUUCGCUACCUAGGAUCUAUAUUGCAAGAGAACGGAGAAUUAGAUGGAGAUCUCAACAGAAGAAUAAAAACUUGGAUCUAACGGAGGACAUGACACAAAACCGAGUGCAAUGGCGUUCUAGGAUUCAUAUAGCCGACCCCACUUAGUGGGAAAAGGCUUUGUUGUUGUUGUUGUUGUUGUUGUUGCUGUUUUAUCUGCAUUUGUUAUCGUCGCUUACAGUUUUCUUUCGCUUGCAGUUCAUUGAUGCUGAAACAAUGGUUUCUCCAACAAUUUUUGCCCGUCGUAGUUUAUCUUUUCUCAUGAGUGACAAGCCUCAGGAACCUCUCAACGAAGCAAUGCAAGCACAAGUAGUUUCCCCAGUUUGGCACAUUGUAUCUUAUCUUCAGGGUGCUGCCCUUUCGGCCUUCUUGCUUGGAAGGACAGCUUUCUAAUGAUGAUGGUACUGAGUUGGCAUGGUUGGCUACACAAUGUAUACAAUCUGAACCCUGAGAGCGACCAAAUCCAAAGUCAUUAGUUGCUUCUUUGACUCCUCUUCAGAAAGAGACUGAGGUUAGUUCUCUCCUCUGUUUCUCUAAUUAAGCAUUAUAUUCCCAACUUUACCCGGGGAGCAUAGUUUGACUGUUUAAAAUCUUCACACAAUUGUUUCUAGGUCUAUAUUUUGGGGCAGUCUUGUAAGCAAUAUAUUCAUAAGUUAUCUUCUUUUCACUGGACUCAAUCUGAGCUAUUUGUGUAAGCUCGUAUCUAACUAUUGACCGAUUCAUUAGUUGUAUUAAUACUGAACCUUGUACCAAGCAGAAAUAUUUGAAAACUUGGGAAAAGGACAUGACUCUAAUUUGUUAUUAGUGAGGACUUGAGAGAGCUACACCUUUGUUUAGUGUCUUUCAUGGUGAAUGAUACUCUAUAAAAUAUCAAUCUCUUAUGCCCCAAAUUUGAGGGUAGUUAACUACAAGGGUUUUCAGUGAUACUAUACCUGUCGGGUGCCAAUUAGAAGCACUCAGAUCUACACCAUCGUAGUAGUUUAAUCAUAUAUAGUUAUUGUAGUUUAAUCAUAUAUAGAUAUUGUAGUUUAAUCAUGAUGCUGGUGGCUGUAUCCUGGACCUCCUUUAUUUCUUUUUGCUUACCUCUGCAGGUUCCUUCUUUUGUUUUGAUGGGUAUCCCACAUGGUACCUUCUGGUCUUCUCUUUCACAAGUCGGUGAUGCCUGCUCAAGAACGGAUAUGACCGCUAUACAUGAGAUCCUAGAGAAUAUCGGCUAUAAAGACGAUGGAAUGACAAAUGAGGUUCUUUAUUUUGUUUAAUUAAUGGAGAACUAUCUAAUAAGUUGUGUUUUGUAUAUAUAUAUAUUUAGCCUUCUCAAUAUUUACGUUCCACUGCAGUGCUCGUUCAAAUGUGGACUGACCAAAUGCAGGAAUGAUAAGAUUCAAAGAAAAUGGGGGAUUCUGCUUUUAAGCACUAGGACAUCAGAACCACAAUUGAGUGUUAUUCACAGGUUCUUAUUAUGAUACUUGUGGGAAAUUCUGAGUAGAGGUUUGAUAAGAGUUGCGCUCAUACCGAUAUCCGAAUUUGGCCUUCAAGAGGAUGUUCUUUAUCUGACCUGUUAAAAUAAAUUACCAAACACAGCUUCGUACAGAAUUUUUGUUUGGCAUUAGAUUUCCGGUCAGAACACUAUCAUUACAUUUUAUCUUCUGAUUCAUGAUAGGAAGAAUUGAAGAAAUGAAAUUGUUAGUUUAAGGUAUUUUUAAUCAGUCAGGAACGGCGUAUGUUGCGAAAAUUGGUAGUUUAAGGUACCUUAGAGUACCUGAACCUAGUAACUCUACUUGCAUGACCAAUAAAAAGAACAAAACUGAAAGAAAAGAAAAAUUAGUAAAUCCUUUUUAACUGCUGCUUUCUCUGCAUUUGUUAUCGUUGCUAACAGUUCUAUUUCACUUGCAGGUCAUUGGAGUUUGAACAAUGGUUUCUCCAACAAUUUUUGACCGGCGUAGUUUGUCUUAUCUCAUGAGUGACAACCCUCAGGAAGCUAUAAAAGAUGCAAUGCAAGCACGAGUAGUUUCCCCAGUUUGGCACAUUGCAUGUUAGGCUGUUGCCCUUUCGGCCCUUGGAAUGGUACUAUGCUUGAAUCCAAAAUGAGCAAAGCAGCUGGAUAGAAGUGAAACUCUAGGCCGCUCGACCAGGUUCCUAGCUUGCCACUUCUCUCGGUUUGGCUCUCAGCUUAUAUAGCCGUCGAUCGAUCAUAAGGUUUAAAACCACUAGAGCCAAAGCUUCAUCAUUUCCACGGUAUUAGAUUUUGUCAUUUUCCAGCAGUAUAUAUUGUAUUUGAAUUGUUUGUUUGAUUUGAUUUUCCGUGCGUCAAAUGAUUCGAGUAUAUGAAUUACUUUGACAAAAUAGAAAGAAAAAAUAGAAAGUUGUAAAAAAACACUGGUAGGGAGGAUGUCAUUCAUAAGCUUGUACUUUGUGUGCAGAAAGCAUAUAGGAUUCCUGGUGUAUCAUUUCUGAUUAAUAAUAAUAAUAAUUAGUUGUUAAACGUCGUCUGAUCAUUGAUAGACAUAUGUACAAGACUGCAACCAAUCCAUUGAACUAAAAUUUACGACGAACAAAACAAUCACAUGUAGUCCAGAAUUAACUGAAUAUCUUUAGUUCAUAUCAUGAAUCAAAACAUAUACUGCAGAAAGGUCUUGAUAAAGUAAACAUAAACAUAAACUUCUUACAAACAAUUAACACUUACAAAUCAUCUGUCAAGUAGAUUUAGUAGUAAAGUUCUUUAUUAUGACAACUCAAUACUUUGAAAACUUGUACAGAUAAUGGUUCGUGGAAGCUCUUUCAGUGAAGUGAGGCCGUCUACACUGUCUCAGAAGAUGCUGUAGAUAAAAAUAAACAAGCACAUGUAGUUAGGUUUUUAAGAAGACAGUGAAAUUAAUCCGAAUGACUUUACGAAUAGAUGCAUGCUUAUUGCUUAAUUUAAGAAGGACAAAUAAAAUCACAUUUACAUACCAUUGCUUAAUUGAAGUGCUGCUUGAUUGAAAUCACCGUCACAUAAAACCAAUCAUUCAAGACAUUCAAGAACCUGAAGUACGAGUAUCUCCAUGACCUCACAAAAAUCAGACUGCCACAAACUCCCCAAAAUCCAACAAUAAAGCCAAGCACCAUGCUGAUGUAAAAUUCCCAUGUUAUAGGCUCAUCCUCCUCUUCUUCGUUGCUCGAGAUUGGAGUUUCCUGUUGAUCACCACACAUCUUUGGAAGUGGAGGUCCGCACAACUGAGGAUUUCCAGCAUAAUCAGAGGGAUCAAAACUUUGGAGCUGAGUGCCAGUUGGAAUUUUGCCAAUAAAGUUGUUGUAUGACAAGUUCAAGACACCAAGACCAUAUAUCUGAGCAAGGCUUGUUGGAAUUCUGCCAUCUAUCUGGUUUCUUGACAAAUCAAGGGCAUCCAAUGAUUGCAACUUUCCAAUCUUUGCAGGUAACUCACCUGUCAAAUCGUUUCUCGACAGGUUUAAAGAAACUAACCCAACAAGAUCCGUGAUUUCACUUGGAAUCUCCCCCGUUAAUCUAUUGCUAGAGAAAUCAAUUCUCUUCACAAGUCCCAAAGUGUUUUUGUACGAGUACAUUCUUCCCUUCCAUAUAAAUGUUGCAUCAUCCAUAUAACUAACCCAAUAGGAAGUAUCAUCUCUUCUGUACCAAUGUCCAAUGGUCGGAGAAGAGUUUCCCUUCUGUGCCAAAACAGUAAAAUUGCUGAGGCAUUUUGGUAUUGUUCCAGAGAUGUUAUUCGCAGACACAUCCAAGUUUUGAAUGUUUGUUAGACGGCAUAGUUCAGAUGGCAUGCUUCCGUUGAAGUUAUUAGAGGAAAGCAUCAGGACAACCAAUUUCUGAAGGCUAACCCCUAACCAUUUUGGAAUGGGUCCUGAUAAUUGAUUGUACCCAACAUCAAGAACUUUUAAACUGGUGCAAUUCUUGAAGGAUGAAGGAAACUCGCCAACAAAUCUGUUGCUUCUUAAUUUCAAUGUUUCCAUGCGAUAUAGUGAGCCCACCGUGGAUGGAAUUUUGCCGGAAAAAGCAUUGUAACUCAAAUCAAGCAUGACUAGAUGGUCAAAAUGUGUCCAGCAUUGUGGAAGUUCUCCGGAGAGAUUGUUGUUUGAGAGAUUAAGAAACAUUAAACUCUCGUAUGCUUCACACAAGAUAGAAAUUGACCCUGAAAUGUUGUUAUUAGAGAGAUCCAAAGAUGACGCAUGCGAUAGAGUUGAGGGAAUUGGACCUUCGAUUUGGUUCGAACUCAAAUGUAUUUCAGGAUAAUAUGUAAAAUUCAUUGUCGAACUUGCAAACAUUUCUCCAAUUUGAUUAUUGGAAAGACUGAUAAAUCUCGCGUAACGAGUCGUACCCCAAAACCAGCUUGGAAGGAUAUCCACAAUUCCAGCAUCAGAAAUAUCGAGGGCUGAAUACUCAUUCUGAGUUUGAAGCCAUUUUGGAAAAUACGGACCCAUUUUGCAAGAUCCCAAAUAUAUAAACUUCAAUUUAAAUGGAGGAACCCAAUUAGAAUUGAAGCUUAAAACUAGCGAGUUAGAGGACAAAUACAAAUACCGUAAUUUGGAGAGUUGAGAGAAAUGGGUUUCCGAAACCACACCUUCCAGAUCAUUCAUACCCAAGUACAUAUACUCCAGAUUAGACAGUUGCCCAAUACUUUCAGGUAUUGUUCCACUCAAUUGAUUUCCAUCGAGAUAUAAUUCCUCCAGAUUAGACAGUUGCCCAAUGCUUUCAGGUAUUGUUCCACUCAAUUGAUUUCCAUAGAGAUCUAAUUCCUCCAGAUUAGACAGUUGCCCAAUGCUUUCAGGUAUUGUUCCACUCAAUUGAUUCCUAUAGAGAAAUAAUACUUUCAACGAUGAAAAGUUUGUAAGAUUAGGAAUUGAUCCAGAAAUAUGAUUGUAAGAGAGGGACAGAGACUCUAAUGAGUUUUGAACACAUGUAGACAACAUUUGAACAAACUCGGAAAACUGUCCACUCAGACUAUUAUUGACAAGGUACAGUGAUUGCAAACUGCAUAAGCUGGAAAAAGAAUGCGGAUUCACCGCGUCAAAUUUGUUAUAAGAGAGAGAUAGAUAGACAAGAGAGGUCAAGUUUUCAAUGACGCUGGGAAUUAAACCAGUUAAACUGCUGUUAUCGAGGCGAAGAAAGACAAGGCUAGCAUUGUAGUUUGACAACCAUAAAUAUAUUGAAGGAGAAGUGCAUUGGCUGUCAGAGAGUUCAACAUGAGCAAGAGAUUUUGAAGAAUUUAUGUUAAAAAGAGUACUGGAAUGGAUUACAGGAGAAGGAAGGCUACACUCCAGUAACGUCAAGUUUGUAAGUUUAGGGAGCUUACUAACUAUUUCCAGCCAGUCAUGAGCAUUACUGAGAUUGGUGCUACUCAGAUCCAAAUAUGUUAAAGAAGAAAGAUGAGGGAGCCAUGAUUUCAGAUUUUCUACACUGUUAAAGUCAUUCCCACUGAGAUCAAGAUAUUGCAAGUGGGUAAGGUUUCCAACUUGACUUGGAAAUCGACCACCAUAAGAAGCAUAAGAGAGAUCGAGUUGAGUAACAUGGUUGGUUCGGUUGCUGCAGUGGACGCGGACCCAUUUGCAACAAUCUUGCUUGUGUUCUUCUCUUCCCCACGAAGAGAGGAGAUUGUAGGGAUCCACGAGGCCGUGCUUGAAAGCAAGGAGUGCUUCUCUUUCCCUCUCAAAGCACCUCACCACUCCUUCCGAAGAAAUAUUUUUGAAUCCAAGGGAAAAGGAAGGGUUGACAGCACAUUGCAGUAAAGUGAACACCACAAUUAGAGCACGAAAGAGUUUCAUCAAGCACCUGAUUCUGUCACCCUCCAUCUUAAUUCAACUAAAUCAACCAAGAGACAAUUGAAGCACGAAAGAGUUUCUUUAGGAUUUUGAUUUUGGAGCAAAAGGAAAGCUGCGCAAGUGUAGUUCAAAAUGAACGGAGAAAAGUAUAAAUAAAAUAUCCAAUAAUUGUGAAGAAAAAAAACUCUUUCGUUGAAAGGUGGGCCUUCUGCAAGCACCUGAUUCUGUCACCCUCCAUCUUAAUUUUGUCACCCUCAAACACUAAAGCAAGGUAGGCCUUCAAGUACCAAGCAGAGGCAAAGCAAUAUACGAUCAAAAGAUAGUCACAUCUUUAUUCAGGAAUUAAAGUUGCCAUAAUUCAAGUGGGAAUGCAUUGACUUAAAUUAGUAAUUUAAAGUCUUGGUUCUUGGAAUUAUUCGUGUCAAAAGUUUAGGGUAGAUUGGUUACUGAUCACCAGCUUCAGAACAUACCCACAAUCUCAAGCUAGAAGGACUUAAGCGUGGCACCUAACUGUCAGCUGCUAUCAGUAUGGAUUUACAUAGGAAUUUACCAAUCGAGCACCAACGAGGACUGCUGGCAAUGAGACUCGAACCUUGGUAGGGCGAGACACAAAGCAGAGACCUUACAAACUGAGCCAACCCCUGUUGGGUCCUUGGAAUUAUAAGUUCAUAACACUAUAUUUGUUUUCACAGUUUUUAUUCGUUUUAAAUGUUGUUUGUCUUGGCCAUUUGGCAUGUGUGUGAUUUUCGUCCUAAUUUUUCAUGCUCAAAACUCUAUUUGGAAUUAUAAGUGCAGGACACAAUUAAACAACGCCACAAAGAGGCCACGCUCAAAACUCAAAAAAAAGAUAAUUAUUCAGAGAUGAUGCACAACUUAAGAGGCCCCUUGCUAAUCUUGGUCACAGUUGUACAUGAUUGAGGAUAGUUAGUAGCUUGGUCUUCAAUUGUCAUGUACAACAAGACCGUAAUACUGAAUGACAAAACUUUAUUUUAAGUGAAAUGUCUCUUUUAUAAGUGAAGAAAAAUACAACUAAAUCAUAGUACUAAAUAACAAAACUAUAUUUUCAUUAGAAAGUUUUCAAGAUAUGCGAUCUUAUAUAGCCUUUCUAUAUAGAAUGGUGUUUUUUUUUUCCUUCAAAAUAUAGUGCGCAAAAUGUCGACAUUGAGACAAGAAUAAUGUCAAAGAAAACAUUUCAUUGAAGAAGUACCAAGUCUUAUAAAUAACAGUUAAAAAAAUGAUUCUUACAAAUAACAAUUCAAAAAAAAGUUUCUUACAAUUAACAGUACAAGGUCCUAACCCAGCCUUCAAAGGAUAAUAAAAAGAGUUUCAAAAUUUUGAAUAAAAAUAAUUUAAUAAUUUUAGUUAAUUAAGACCAAAAAUAUUAACAAAAACACAAAUUAGUUUUCUUCUCUUUCUUCUCUCUCCCCCCUUUCGCUCUUCGGAUGAGGAUUCUCUCCUCCUUUUUUCCCAUCCACUCCCAUCCUCUUCCUGAUUGUGUGAUUACGAUUAAGUUACGUGAACAUUUUAUAUUGAUUUUUUUUAUAAAGAUAAUAAGAUAAAAAGACGUGAUUUAACCGUGACCACACAAACAGAGAAAUGAUGGAAGUGGAUGAGAAAAAAGGAGAGAAUCCUCCUCCUUCGUCUUCAGUCUUCACCACCUCUUUUCUUUUUCACCCAUCCCCUCUAUCCACCCGUGCCUCAUCUAUUUCUUCCUGGAUAAUAAAAAGAGUUUCAAAAUUUUGAAUCUUAAUUAAAAAUAAUUUAAUAAUUUUAGUCAUUAAUUAAGACCAAAAAUAUUAUAAAAAUAUUAACAAAAACACAAAUUAGUUUUCUUCUCUUUCUUCUCUCUCCCCCUUUCGCUCUUCGGAUGAGGAUUCUCUCCUCCUUUUUUCCCAUCCACUUCCAUCAUCUUCCUGAUUGUGUGAUCACGAUUAAGUCACGUCAAUAUUUUAUUUUAUAUAGAUAAUAAGAUAAAAAGACGUGGCUUAACCGUGACCACACAAACAGAAGAAUGAUGGAAGUGGAUGAGAAAAAAAGAGGAGAGAAUCCUCCUCCUUCGUCUUCAGUCUUCACCACCUCUUUUCAUUUUCACCCAUCCCCUCUAUCCACUGCCUCAUCUAUUUCUUCCUAGAUAAUAAAAAGAGUUUCAAAAUUUUGAAUCUUAACUAAAAAUAAUUUAAUAAUUUUAGUCAAUAAUUAAGACCAAAAAUAUUAUAAAAAUAUUAACAAAAACACAAAUUAGUUUUCUUCUCUUUCUUCUCUCUCCCCCCCCCCUUUCGCUCUUCGGAUGAGGAUUAUCACGAUUAAGUCACGUCAACAAUUUAUAUUGAUUUUUUAAUAGAGAUAAUAAGAUAAAAAGAUAUGACUUAACCGUGACCACACAAACAGAGAAAUGAUGGAAGUGGAUGAGAAAAAAGGAGGAGAGAAUCCUCCUCCUUCGUCUUCAGUCUUCACCACCUCUUUUCUUUGGACUUGGAUUCUCUGCCCUCCCAUUUCGGUGUCCUCCCCGUGCCCUCCUGUUUUGUAUGAUCACGGUUAAUCCAUGCUAACAUUUUAUAUUGUUUUUUAUAAAAAUAAUAAGACAAAAAAAAAAUAGUAAUAUAAAAUAUUGACGUAGCUUAACCGUGACCACACAAACAGGAGGGCAUGGGGAGGACACCGAAUUGGGAGGGCAGAGAAUCCAAGUCCCUUUUCUUUUUCACCCAUCCCCUCUAUCCACCCGUGCCUCAUCUAUUUCUUCCUGUCUCUCUCAUCCAUCACUUUCUCUCACCUCUCACUAACACAAAAAGCCAAGUCCCCACAUCUUAUCUUGUUAUAUUAUUAUUCUUUUAAACUCUCCCCUCACUUCCUUUUCACCCUUCACAACCUCUAUAUAUCGUAAUUAUUUUUUAUGAAUUUUUUUGUGAUUUGUGUACAAAAAGCAUAUACGAUUAUCAAUGUAUUAUUUUUUAUGAAAUAAAUAAUAGUUAGUUUAUUAAACGUCAUGGCAUCGUUAUUAGACAUAGAUAUAAGUUACUACUUGGAUUAAAAUAAUAAUUAGUUUAUUAUACGAUUCAUUCAAAGGAUACCACCCAAGAUGAAGUUGAGUAACAUGGUUGGUUCGGUUGCUGCAGUGGACGCCGACCCAUUUGCAACAAUCUUGCUUAUGUUCUUCUCUUCCCCACGAAGAGAGGAGAUCGUAGGGAUCCACGAGGCCGUGCUUGAAAGCAAGGAGUGCUUCUCUUUCCCUCUCAAAGCACCUCACCACUCCUUCCAAAGAAAUAUUUUUGAAUCCAAGCGAAAGGGAAGGGUUGACAACACAUUGCAGUAAAGUGAACACCACAAUUAAAGCACGAAAGAGUUUCUUCAAGCACCUGAUUCUGUCACCCUCCAUCUUAAUUCAACUAAAUCAACCAAGAGACAAUUGAAGCACGAAAGAGUUUCUUUAGGAUUUUGAUUUUGGAGCAAAAGGAAAGCUGCGCAAGUGUAGUUCAAAAUGAACGGAGAAAAGUAUAAAUAAAAUAUCCAAUAAUUGUGAAAAAUAUUUAUACAAGAAAGAUUAUAUUCAAACACCCUAAAUUACUGUUUUCUCAUUUUUUUUAAUUUUUUAAUAUUUUCUACACACCACUAUCAUUUGAUAAAAAAAUAUUAAAAAAUUAAAAGACACUAGUUGAUACUUAAUUUCCCACCUUCUCCUUAAUUUAAGGCACUAGUUGAUACUUUAUUUCCCACCUUCUCCUUGAUUUAAGGCCUUUGUUUCGCACUUGUUGAUGCUUUAUUUCUCACCUUCUGUUUCCCACUUGUUCAUACUUUGUUUCCCACCUUCUGUGACUUUAUGGUACAACAGUACGUAAUGAUGAAUAGUAAAGAAUAAAUGGACAAGAUUGAAAAUAGACUAUUCAAUACUUGUGGAAAUUUUUGUACAAUAAAAUAACCAAUGAUUCUCCUUCUCCAAUGUAUUUGUCAUUUCAUCUUAAACACGCACAAUCAAAAGUGGGGCUACAAGUAGCUAUCAGAGGCAAUACAAUAGGUGAUCAAAACAUAGGCAUAUCUUUGUACAAGCAUUAAAGUUUCCACUAUUAAAGUGGGAAUUGCAGAAAAUCAUGAAAAGAUCACUGUAGCCCUUCGUCCGAAAACCUCCGCCUUGUAGAUGUGGGGAGCGGUGUGGGUCUUCCGGGUUUGAUCUUAGCCAUUGCUUGCCCAGGUAAGUAACUACUGUGCAUAUUUGGCACAUUUGAACAGGAGGAAGUUAGGAAUGCAGAAAAAGCAAUUCAGAUUUUGGGUGCUUCCGUGUUGAACAAUGCGCAGGCAUGUCAUAUCUCUAUUUGAAAACUUAACAAACCUAUCAUGUAUAUGGGGGAGAGAGAGAGAGAGAGAGCUAAAAAUGUUUACUGAUGUAACCUCUGUUUGUAUCCAGUGGAAUCGCACAGCCCAUACGGACAUGUAUCCAGGAAAACAUGUAACCUCUGUUCGUGUCUAGCCAGCCUUUACCAGUGCUUGUUUCAUGUGACACACUUUAUGAUAUUCCAUUACCAUCCAAAGCAUAACUUAUUUUGUCAUCCAUUUUAUUUGAAUGAAUUACGAAACGUAAAUAAAACCGAAUGUAUACUUCAUACAUCUAUUUUCACGUGACAAGAAAGACAAUUAUACAGAGUUCUAUCUAAUUUCAUGUAACUUAUAUAUAUACUCGAUUUUAUGUAAAUUUUAACUCAAUAUACACCCAAUUUUAUGUAAGUUAAGAUGAUAAUUAUGGCCUUGCAGUUUAAUCUGUCAUAAAACACCCAUAUUUCCACCAGCGUUCAUGCAUUAGGCAAUAAAGUUACUUAUUAACCAAUAAAAGAAGAAAAAGAAAAAGGGGUUCGUGAGAGGCAGGAGCUGCUAUACCUGCAACAGGGAAAAAAGUGUUUUUUAUUCCCUUGAAACCUGUUGAUCUCUCAACUCUGCGUAUCAUCAUUACAUUGUGAAAGUGGGUUGACACCGCCCUUGUUGCAAAAAUAGUAUAAACAAUCGAACAUUAGGCUGACAACAGAACAUGCACAUUGCACACACUUUUGUUCUUGGUAUAAAUUGUGUAGGGAUGCCCAACAAUUCAUAAGACAACACACCCACAGCCGGAAGUUGGUCUCUACAAUGUUUAAUCCAUUGCAGAUAUAAAUCAAUAGAUUCUGGUCCCUUUUUGAUAUUCUGUAAAUCAAUUUUCAUUUGACCAAUACUGGUUCUUGUCAUAUUAGAGAAUCUUUCUUUGAGAUCAGUCCACAUUUCUCUAGAAGUUUGACAACCAAUAACAGAGGAUACAGCAUCAGUUGAUAAUGUGUCAGUGAUAAGAGUCAUUAAAGCUUUGUCAUGAAUCUUCCAAACCUUAAAAGCAUCAGCAAUCACUGGUGGAUUUUCAACAGUCUCAUUUGCAAAAUCAGACUCUACAUAUUUGUUUGGACAAGGUAUGGAACCAGUAACAAACCCAAGAAUUCCAUAUCCAUCUAACAAGAGUUCCAUUUGAAAAUUCCAUGUAACAUAAUUGGAAUCAUCAAGUUUUACAGUCACAGUGUUUCCAACACUGGGAAUCAACGAAGAGAUCGAUGACUGAGUAAGAGCUAACUGAGCAACAAUAACCAUUUUUAUAUGAACACACCAAAUCAACUAGAAAUUCUAGCAACAGACAAAAUCAUCAACUUUGCAAGAAUCAACACAUCGACAAUCGAAGAUGAACAAAUCAACAAUCAACAAUAAUACACCACAAAUCCAUCAAAUAGCAACAUGAUCUCCACCAAAGAAAGCAAGAAUCAAAGAAUGAAUCAAGAAUCAACUUUCAUUAUGCUUGCGCUCUCGUCAUUGUUGCCCUUAUUAAAUACAUUUUUAAAUUUUAAGAAUUGUUAUUAGCAUUUCAAAAUUUUCAUUAUGCACUCCAAACUUUUUAUAUUUAGAAAAAGAAAAUACACUUGUGAGUAGGGGUGCAACUCGGGGGACUUGAGCGGGUUAGAUGGUCAACUCAAUCCUAACCCAACAUUCCUAAUUCGGGUUUGGGUUCAUGGGGUUUUACUCAAGUUCGGGUUUAAGUUGGGUUCAGGCUUACUUGGGUUUGUCCAAUUUUACCAAAUUCAAUCUUCUAACACAUUUUUUUAUAAGAUAAAUCUCAAAUUUUGAACCAAAUAACGCGAAACUAUUUAAAAUUCAAUUUUACACAUCACCAUCCAUAAAAAGAAUAAACCAAAUAGUGUGGAACACAUUUCAAAAGUUUCAACCACACAAAGUUGAAAUUAAAUGGCAAGACAAUACCAACGUUUUAACCAAAAGUAAAGUAAAAGCAACAUUAUUGUUCAUUGUUCAAAUGAAAAGCAACAACAAACUCAAGUAUGGCCUCCAAAACUCGUAUCUAGCUUAUAUAAUAUGAAGUAGGACGGGUAAUACGUGCAUGAGCAAUUUGAGCUAGAAAUCAGAUUGGAUUUGGCUUGAAGCAAACAUCAACCCAACCCAACCCAAUAGGGUAGGUUUGAAAAACCGAAAACCGAAAAAUAAUCAAACUGAACACCGAACCGGAUUAAAAAAAAUCAAACCGAACUGGAUUAUAUUGGCUCGGUUUCGAUUUCAAUAGUUCGAAAACCGAACUAAACCGAAUUGAACCGAAUUCUAAACCCAUUUAAACGAGUUUUAUGAUACUUAACUAACCCUUACUAACUAAUACAUUACAUUGUGUACAUGUGCAAUUAGUUUAAGGAUUUGUUAUUGUUUUUUAUUGCCAACUGCUUAAGAUGAAAUGGAUUUUGGCAGGAGCCAAUUGCUUAACAAAUACACGGUAUGAAAUGGAUUCUAUGUUAAUUUCCCAUUGCAUAUAAUUAUUAGAAUUUAGUUUUUGCAUUACAAUUAUUUGAGGUCAGUGCCUUAUAUGACCAUGCAUUUUAAUUAUGUUUGGUUAUCCAUGUUAGCUUAGCUUGAUACAAUUAUUAGUAUCAUUUUUAUUUUUUUUUUGGAAAGUGGGAUCCAAAAGGAUCGCCAUCAAGGAGUUUUUAUUAAAACAAACACAAACUUAGAAACAAAACAAAUGCCUAAAUUAUUCCGAGAAACAAACAAAGAACAGGCCUAAAAACAAAGGAAACGCAUAAAAUGAGCUCAACAACAGUGAAGCCCAAACAAAAACGAACAUCCAAUAAACAUCCAUUGUGCUCUCCACCGCCAAUCUGAGAAGUAGUCAGUCAUCCAAUCCUCCAUACACCGCUGAUCAUCACCUCCACAGGCACCACCUGCACAUAGCCAUCAACAAGAGAUAGUCGGCGAGAGAGAAGCCAACCAUCGGAAAGAAGCUCUAAGAAAAUCUCGAGCAACAUUGCUGCGAACGGCAGACAACAAGGAGAACGUGGUGAUGUGGGAAACACCCGAGCCGGAUACAACACCAAAACUCUACACACGAACUCUACAGAAACCAUGGCUGAAAAACAAAGCACGGAAGGGCCAUGAAAGGGGAUACCUAUGGGGGUUGAGGGAUGGGAAAAGCCAGAAAGGAAAAGGAGAAGAACCAUCAGCAGAUGGAAGGGGAGAAGAAAGAAAAACAAAAGCAGAAAAACUAGAGGAAAAGGUAAAAGACCAUCAGCAGAUGGAAGGGGAGAAGAAAGAAAAAACAAAUACAAAAAACCACCACUGAUCUCAGCUACAGCUAGGAUCAGUGGCACCAAACGGAAGCACGAUCGGGAAAUCACUCACACAAUAUGGUGAGAAGCACCUUCAAACAAAGGGAAGAACUCUCACAAGGAGAGAAAAGAGGAAAGUUUCCCGGGUUAUCUCCGUUUUGGUUUUGGCAUUCCUCCACGCUCAUCCAUUAUUAGUUUCAUUUUUGGUACUGGAAUGUAUGCGUCUUCCCAUAUUUUUGGUAAUGGAAUAAACAUGCAUCUUCCCUCCCUUCGAAGUUUCAACAAUGCAUGCAUUAGUGAUAUAGUGUACCAUGCAACGGUGUUAGUACUUAUUGAGAAAAAAAAAUAUACAUACAUAUACAUAUAUAUAUAUAUACACACACAUACAGUGGCGGAUCCAGGAAAUAAUGUUUGGGGGGUCAACAAGGAUAGCGCGCGCAGCGCGAAGUUUUUUUUUAACAGAAACGGCAUGCAUAUCGUCAUUUCAUCGGGUCUUGGUAGGAUAGCGUGAUCAGCCUCUCGCCGAUAGUUACCAUACUGAAAGGUGCCUUCACUUUCCCUGACAACAAAAAAUAAACAUAAAAUUGGGUUGGAUGGUUCAUAAUAAACAUAAAAUUCUGAUGUCAAUAUGGUGGUUCAUAAUAAUAUUUUUUAGAGAUCAUAUUAAUUUAUGUUGAAUAUAAAGAGAAAUAAAGUUGUUAAAUAUGUGGAUGUGGAAAGGGCACACACAUCAUUACCAUUAAUUUAUGUCAAAUAUGUGGAUGUGGACGCAUGGGAACUUUGCAAUCUGCACCAAGACUUAAUGGUGACAUCUUCAACUUGACACACGAACCGAACUGACAGCCCAUGGCUUUUUACACAAAGCAAGCAAUUUGAUGCUAGCUGUACAAAUUUGAUUGGAGAGAAACUAAGAAAAAAAAUUAAAUAAGAAGAGUGUGUGGUCACGUGGUGUGAAAGGAAGAGAGAGAACGUCUUCGUCUUCCUCUUCCGCCAAACCGAACGAAAACCAGAAGAAACCCAGAAAAAUGCAGCAGCUCCAAGAGGUCGCACCAGCAACUUUAAGGGAUCGCACCAGCAGCUCCAAGGGACCUCUAAGGUUAUUUCCAUGGCUUCCAAGGGGUCGUGCCACCCCAUUG
RNAcentral lists this long non-coding RNA (80431 nucleotides) under Malus domestica (apple). RNAcentral describes it as "long non-coding RNA (MDOM_LNC014294)". The record is from RNAcentral. Lineage: Eukaryota; Viridiplantae; Streptophyta; Magnoliopsida; Rosales; Rosaceae.